UUUGAGUCCAAUAGUCCAUUUAAUCAUGGGCCUAUUAGCCCAUACCUUCCAUAAUUAUGGGCCUAUUAUGCAUCAUAAUAAAAAGGGCAAAUUACAGAAAUCACAUACUUUUAAGGCAAAAUUACAAUAUAUCCCUUAAAAGUUUAUAAUUACAGAAAUCCCUCAAACGGAUACAAUAAUAUAAGCGCUGAUACAUUAAGCUGGUGCGCGAGAUACAUUAAUCGUUAAGUAAGAUACAUUACAUUUUAUACAUGAUACACUAAUCUGAUGUACAUUUAAUACAUGAUACACUAAUCUGAUGCGCGAGAUACACUAAUCUGAUACGCUGAUACAUUAUUCUAAUGCGUGAAAAUGAGGGAUUUUGGAAAUUUGUAAAACUUAUAGGGAAUAAUGGUAAUAAGUAAACUAAAAGGUGAGAUUUUGUAAUUAAUCCAUAAAAAGCUCAGUCUUUGCUCCUUCUUUAGCUAAAAUAUUCGCUACCCUGUUUUGUUCGCCCUAAGUGUAUCUAAGCAUUGAAUUCCCAAUUUACCUCAUCAAUAAUGACUUAAAUUCACAUAAGCUUGCGAUAUGAAUUAAGUUCCUUUUCUUGAAUAAAUUACUUACCUCCAUAGAGUCCGAGGAAAAUUACAUUUGUAUGAUUAUAACUUUAAUAAAAAGCAAGACUUAUAUGAGAUACAAGUAAUUUGGAAACUUCACUUGCAUGCAAUGUAUAUAAUAUGUCUCCAUUUUAACGCAUGCUAGUAAAAUUGUGGACUAUAUAUUAUACCUUUUAAUAGUAAAAAAAAAUUGAUCACUUGCCAUAAUUCCUGGAGGACUUGCUUGUUUGGUGACCACAACCUUUCCAUAGACAUAUCACUAUGGGCAUGUGUUGUUACUAAUGAUAAAUCAUCAUCAUUUUGUCAUUGCAUUUUUUAUUUUAUUUUUUAUGAAGGGGCCAAGUCAGACUUCAUAAAGUCCCACAUAAGUUACUCAUAUCCAAUAAACAAAUGAAUGGACAACUGAUAAUUCCUCAAAAAUGUCAGAAAAGCAAAAAAAAAGAAAAGAAAAGGGGACACAAGUUCUUCAUUUUAUCUCUAGUGAAAGUAUUUUGGUUGCUUUCUCCUCCUGAAGUCCUUUUUCGAUUCUUUUUGCCUAUUGGAUAGGCCACUUGCAUAACCAGAAUUUUCAUCGAGAAAGUUAAACAUCUAUUUAUUAUAUAUAUAUAUGUAUAAAAAAUAUUUACUUUGUAUAUAUACACUAUAAUUUUUUAUUGAAGAGCUCCGUGCCUGGGGGAUUGAUGGGUAGAGGAAGAAGGGAGUUCAUUUCCCUUUGCAGAAAAAACACACAAAAUAAUUGAACCUCUUGGUAAAAAUUCUGUUUCCGUCGCUGGCAGAUGCUGAUUUAUACCAUCAGAGUAUGAACCAAAAUCAUUAUUUUAAAAAUAGGUGACAGUUUGUUACUUUUCAUUACUGUCUGAAGUAUGAAAAAGAGGAAAACUAAACUUCCCCAUUACCUGCCCAAAUUAUGUAUGGCCAAAAUCAUAAUAAGUACUCCGUUUCAAGAUUCAAACAUGUCUAUUUCAUGUGCAAAUUUUCAGUCAAAUUUAAAUUGUUUUGACUCUCGAAAAAUGAAAAACGUCGCAUAAAUUGGGAUAGAGGGAGUAACACAUAGUAGCUGGCUUACAUACAUAAAAUAGAAACCACUGUUUAGUCUGUGCUCCACUUGCUUCUUCAUGACAUAUCUUCCUAUAGGGUCCCCUCUUCCUUUUUUCAACACUAUUUAUUUAGCACAAACUUUCAUUAUUUUGCUUAGAAAGAAGCAAAGUUGUUCCUCCAAUGGGAAAUCACAAGUUCAAGUUUUCAGAUAUGAUGCCAAAUACUUGGUUUUACAAGCUUAAAGAUAUGAGCAAAACCAAAAAUCAUAAAUCCCCAUUUUCAUCUUCUUCUACAAAUAAGUCACAAUAUUCUCAACCAAGAUCAUCUUUUUCUUAUACUAGAAGGUCCAUUAGAGUUGACAAGAUUUACAAUUCUCAUUCUUAUAGCUUUCUUGAUCAACCAAGAAGAUCAUCAUCGUCGUCAUCUAAGAAAAAAUCCAAGAGAAAAACUAUUUACAAGCCUUCUCCUAAACACAUUCCUUCUUCUGUUUCCAACUACGUCUCAGUCUCAAACAAGUUAAAGUCGUCUUCUUCUGUUUACUCAACAGAAGACGAUAAAUUCCCUGAAUUAGAUUUCCUCAACUCUCCAUCCUCCGAAUUCGACUCUGUUGAAUCUCAAUCAUUCAAUGAACUUGCCUCAACUUGGCCAAAUUCUUGUAGUUGUCACUUCACUUCUUCAGCUACCGAUAUAAUCAUAGACAUGAAUGAUAAAGCUCACUCGAAUGAAUUCCACAAUCUUAAUACAGAGUACGCGGAAAUUUCAGAUAUUGAUCAACUCCCUCCGAUCAUUACAAAGACAUCGAAUUCCAUCAAGAACAUAAACCAGGACGAAAAUGUGAAGGCUCAACGAGAACAGGAAGCUAAAAACAGAGUAAGUUCCCCUGUUUCGAGAAAACAUUAUUCUAGCUCUUCUGGUGUAAAACUACGAACAAAUUCUACUAAAGUAGCGAGCAAGAGAAAUAGUGUGUCAUCAUCAAAAAGGCGUUCGAAGGCAAAAAAAGAGAGUUGUUCAACUUCAACAGGGACUAGUUUUGCUAUAGUGAAGGCUUCAAUUGAUCCUGAGAAAGAUUUUAGAGAAUCUAUGAUCGAAAUGGUUGUCGAAAACAAUAUCAGGGCAUCGAAAGACUUGGAGAAUCUUCUUGCUUGUUAUCUUUCGUUGAAUUCAAAUGAAUAUCAUGAUCUUAUUAUCAAGGCAUUUGAACAAAUAUGGUUCAACUUGUCUGACCUUCACUUGUAAAAAUCUACUAGUAUUCUCAUUUCUUCUAAAAAUGUUAAAGUACUACUAUUUUGAAUUUUUUAGUUAACUAACUUGUUCAUAGAUGCAAAAUAUUGUACUUUUCGAUCUUGUUUGUCCCUUUUCUGAUGAGUGUAUAUUUGAAUGUUCUGUUGGAAAACCCUUUAUUUUCCGGUAAAGAAUGUAAAUAGGGCAGGGCAGAACCGGGCAAGGAAAGCCUUAACUUGUCAAAGGUUUAACCCUGCCCGUCUUAUCCUGUCCUGCCCUAUUUAAAUUUCGGGGGAAUUGUAAAGCUAGAAGCCGGAAGUAUUAGAAAUAAGGAUAAUUGUGAAAUUAUUCAUUUUUCACGUCUGCGAGCUUUAGAAAGGAGAAGGGAAGCGUCAAAUCCACCUUUUGCCUCUAUUUUCAUUUUUCACGUCUGCGAGCUUAUUUUUUUUCUCUAGAUCUUUACAAGUUCAUUAAAGAUUAAUUUCUAAUAAAGUUUUUUAAAAAAAUAUCUUCUUAGUUUACCAGGAACACUUUCUUUAGAGAUGCCCUUUAUUUAUUUUUUAACGAAAUCUUGCUCUGAUACAAGAUUAAGUUGUAAACUUUUAUGUGAGAUGAACAUGCACUUUAUUUCACAUUUUUUUUGUCGACCCAAAUUAUUUAGUUGAUCAUUCACUUUCUAGUGUAGACAGAAGAGGUCCACAUUAGAAUUAAGGUAGUGCAAAUACAGAAUGUGAAGAAAAUAUAUUGCAAAUCAUAAAUAAAGUAAGUACUAUUUUUAAAGUUUGCAUUGUUGUCAUAAAGUAAAAGGUGGCCUUCUCUAUUACAUAAUUGUCAAAAUGAGUGAACAAAGACAUAGAUAAUUAAGGUACCCUAUUGGCUGCCUUUUGCACAAAUUAAUAAUGCAAAUUUUUUAGCUGUUCAUUGAUCGUCAAGUUUCCUUUUUUGGGAACAGUAUUAAUUGUCUUGUCAAAAAGAUGUUUCCUAUUAAAAAAAUAAAAAUUGAGAGUGAAUAAUGUUAAGUCUAAUUCUUCAUGGUAAUUAUGGAGAUUAAUGAAAAGGACCACAAAGAUGUAAAUAUAUAGGCCAAAUUAAAGAUGUACGUUAUGUUUCAAUUGUGUUGGACAUAUAGAAUCUUGUGAGUUGCUAUUGCCUAUUCUUGUAGAAACUUAGUUGAGGGAUAUGUCUGAUUAAUUAUUAAGGACCGUCUUUAAUAGGUAAAGAUAAUCUAAUGAUAUAUAUAUUCUUUGUAUCAUUGAUAUAUAUAUCUUAAACUAAUAAUAAUAAUAAUAAUAAUAAUAAUAAUGAAAUAUCGUACUUGAGAUUUAAUACCUCCAUGAGAUUAGUUCAAGCCUUAGAUUUACUAUAUGAUGAAAUGAAUGAAUUCAAAAUCAAUAAACUCAAAUUAACAAUAGGUACAAGUCUUAGUGUAGACAUUUAAAAAUAAAAUAAAAUUGAGGCAUGUGUAUUCAUUCAAGCACUCAGUAUCGUAGCUAAAUGUAUUAGUCGAACAUCCUUCAUCGAUUUAUAUAUAUAUAUAUAUGUGUGUGAAUAAGUUUCAUAGGUACAUACUUAAUCUUGAACACUCUUAAAUAUGCCCUUUAACUUUGCCUCAUUUCACAUUUAUACCCUCCAACUUUGGAUGUGCACAAAUAGACACUUAAACUUGUAUAAAGUUGAACAAGUAGACACAUGAGUCCUAUGUGACAUAAUACACAUAGGACACCACGUAGGAUGCAAAUUGCCAUGUAGGAUGCCACAUAGGAUGUGUGUGUCUAUUUGUUCAAUUUUAUACAAGUUUAAGUGUCUACUUGUGCACACUCAAAGUUGGAGGACAUAAAUAUAAAAUGAGACAAAAUUAAAAGGCAUAUUUAUGUAUUAUGCCUAAAAAAUUUGACUUCGCUACUGAACGGUUAGUUAGAUAAGUUGCAGCUAACAUGUAACUAGAAACAAAGAGAGAGAAAUUGACAACGUUAACACCAACACCCGACCCGAAUUUUGUGCGUUGAAUGUAUGCUUUUGUCGUUGAUCGAAAAACAGGGUCGUUAGGGAAAUAUUAGUACCAAACUCCAUCUAGUCACGAGAGCACAAUCCAGAAAUAAGUGUUUUCUAAUUACUCACUCUUUGAUUAUUGCGUAAGUAAGCAAAGAAAUAUUGUAAAAAAUCUUUUAAAAUAUUCAUUUCGAUAGGUAGGGUAGGAAUAUACCUAGGAAGGAAGCGGAAGUGAUAUGGGAUAGGGUGGUAUGGUCAAGGAGUGGGCUCAGAGGCAGUGAUGGAGCAAAAUUUUGAUUAAGAAAUGUCAAAAACAAAAAAAGUAAAAUCGCUUGAUGUCAAGGAAGGUCGAUAUGUGAUGUAUAUAUAUUAAAUAUUUUUAUUUAGCUGCAGCCAGCACAGAGUAAUUUUCCGACCCCUCAAGUAUAUGUGGUUCCGCUGCUAGUUGAAGGUUUGGGAGGAGACAAUAUAAUGAGCUUGAAAUGCUACUUAUGAGACUUAAUGAGUACAACUUAUUAAAGGGAAACUACGAAAAAAAAUCUUAGAGCUAAUUGUCUAAUUCAUCCACAACUCCGAGAUUAAUGUGCUCUUUUUUAUUAUGCUAGAGUCGUUUUUUCUGCUCAAGGGAAAGUCAUAUUCUUAAUUUUUAAACAACUUAGUUUUCUUCAAAAUAUUUUCACAAACCAAGCAUGAAAAAUUAGAAAAUAUUUUUCUAAAAAUAUUUUUGGUCAUACCAAACACACUCUUAAUUAAUAUUAGUAAGAAAAUCAAGAUUAAAUUUUUAACCCUUGUUUUUUUUUUUAACAAUCUAGUCCCACUAAGACGAUGAGGUGUGGAAACAGACUUCCGAGAGAGUUGCUUUUGCCUUGAGUAUUCAGAAUUUAUUGAUCAGAUUAAUUCAAAAUCAAGUCGGUCACUUAAGAGGAAAGCAAUUCAUACCAAUAAUCUUUAGUAAAAGAAUCAUAUUCAUUCACCUCGUUACGAUUUACCCCUUUUAAUUGAAGUAAAGAAAGAACCAAGAAGAUGCGCAUCCACCAAUUACAGUUAAAACUAUAAUGUCUUUUGUAUACCUGGAAAUCAAAAUGACCUUUGGGAAAAAGUGAAGCCUCAUCAUUCAUUAAAGAUCCACCAUGAAGAUUCUGUUAACAAAAGUGUAACAAGCAUGGGGCAAAUAUACCAUUACUUUGCCCUUUUAAUCAAUUAUUGAACAUUAUAACUCACAUAGCAUGCCAUACACAUCAACAAAAAUGCCCUCCACAUAUUAUUAUUGCACAAAUUUAACUAUUGUAUGGUCACAAUUAGAUAAGGGAGACAACAGUAACCCAUACAAACAUGACUCACUACCCUUCAAACUAUUUAUUAACUCAAUCCAUUUUAAUCUGUUCAAUUCAAUUCAGUUAAGUUAAGAGUUCAGGUUGAAAUGUAAAUCAAAUUGAUCCAUGAGGAACUUUGUUAAAAAUUUUAUUAUAUAUAACUAUAAUAAAAGAAAAAAGAAGGGUUGUUAAGUGCUUAAGUAAAUUAUUAAAAUCAAACAAAGUAUAUAAAAUUUAGUAAAAGGGGAUGGUUUGGAUUACGACCUAUUGUUUAGUCUAUUUUGACUCAUUCAAAAAAAUCAACCCAUUUUUUACCCAUUAGCUGAAUUCAGUAGCGUGAGCUUGUGACUAAGUAGGUAGUAAGGUGUUGGGGACAAUCAUAGUUAGUCCUAUGAGGUAAACAUGGGUCAAAAGUUCAAAAUUAUCCAUUUUAAAGAUUAUUGAGCGUAAUUUCCUGUCAAAAAAGCUAUGUAUGCAAGUUCAUUUGGCCCUUAUAAAAGAAAAACUAUUUUAACCCGUCUAAAUUCAAUCGAUCUGCUUAUUUGAUAUCCUAUAAUCAUGCAAGAAUAUAAUUUGUUUGGAAAGUAUAGUGAAAAUGGAGUUCUUGUAAUUGACACAAAAUAAAUGAUACACUAUAUAUAGCAAAUUAUGGGCCUAUUCUCAAGGCUUUUUUUUUCGUAAGAUUUUCAGUUCACUCAAAAAAAAUCUUUAGACCAUGGUCUAAAAGGUUCAUAAGUUGACGGACAACUAACAGUGUAAUGUUUUGUCAGUCCCAAGAGUAAUAUUUGCACAAAUUGCAUUCUUCCAUUGCUUGAAGGAACAAAUGAACAAAAUUUGAACAAACACUUUUAUUGUCAUUUACAAUUACAUCAGCUGCUUAAUUCAAACUCUCAUCUGCUUAAAACUACCAUAUGUAUCGUCCUUACUAUUUAAAUUACAUAUUUUGUAGAAGAGAAAUCAAUGUCUUCUUGGUUUGUGACCUUGUCCCUUACCAUCACUCGACAAUCUCAUCGAAUUAGUACAAUUCAUCGAUCUAGGACUCCUCUUCAAAUCCUCGUAAGGUUGUUGAAACCCGAUGUUUUCAACAGCACCAACAGUCUUGAACAAUCGUCUCUUGUGCACUUCUUCCACCAAUGACUUGUGCAACAACUGACUCCGCAUAUCAACUAAGGACUUGUUCCUUGUUAGUCUACGCGUAUCAUCAUUACCUUUCCCUUUAGAGGUGGAAGAAGUUCCUUUUGAUUCUAGCAUAGCUUUGCAUUGCUUGUAGCACGUUCUUGCCAAAGACUGUCCGGUGCUUGAGUUUUCCUCAGGGCAGAAUCGCGAAGUGUGGUGACUAAUUGCAGUAGCUGGUUGACUUUGUCUUGUAGAGGUGGUCACAGGAUCAUUCUCAUCAUCAGAGAAGUAAUUGAAGUUGGAAUAAUUUGCAGAGUGUGACGAGCAUUGAGAGCUCGUGUCAUCAAACAUAUCACCUGCAAGAUGUAAAUGAGGUGACAAACAUAUAAACAAUCACGUCUUGGUAACUUUUUUCUGGUCGAAAUAAGUAUGCUAGUCCUUUAAUAUAACUCAACUAACACAUAUGUGGUUCAUUCUCAACAUUGCGAACCAAUACUCAAGGAGAUUGAAUAAAAUCUUUCGACGAUAGAGCAAAGAUAGAACGUGUGUGGAAAUGGUAAUAUAAAACUAGAUCAGAUAAAUAAUGAUACCAUGAAGCCAACGCCGGUCAUUGGUGUUUGUGUCAAUCACUUGAGAGGAGAGCAGACCUGACAAUGAUACUUGGGAAGAUGAAGAAGACGAGAAACCUUGGAAAGGAUUAUGGCGAUCGUUAUCAUCAUCCUUAUAGCUCAGAACAUGGUAAUCGGAGGAUUCAAACUGAUUCCAUUUCUUCCACUGAGGUACUAGGCCAGAUAUUUCUCCAUCAAUCAUAUUAGCGAUUUCACAUGGUUUCCAGUCUGUAAUUUCUAAUUCCUUCACCAUUUCGUUUGCCACCUCCGUGGGGGUGUCAGUCACAGUGUCGAAUGGGAAAUACACAUGCCUAACACCACCUGCAAUGAACAGUGUUAAAAAUUUAGUGAAUGCUUCAGCUUCAUGUGCUUAUCUAGAAACUGGACUAAUAACAUCCUUUUUUUCCUUUUCAUAAUCCUUCUCGUCUGCUUAUGGAAUCUAAUGUUUUUUCCUAGAAGGUUCUUAUUCUUCAAUAACAAAAAAGAGGUCACAAUAGAUACCUUCUUUAUCCGCAAUCUGCACUUUAAGAAAAAUGGUAUCAUCUUCAGGGUUCAACUUCCCCGUGAUGGUCAUAUUAGUCCUUGGAACAUCCUCAUUCAAGUGAAGGUCCUCGAUAGCAAUUUUAUCAUUCAAGAUAGGCUUCUGAAGUCGCAUCAUUGUAACUGACUCACUAUCAGCAUCGUCAAUCACGAGGAACGGAUCAAGCAUUAGUUCUUUAGCUGAUGAUCUAUUUGAUGCUGGUUCCAAGCAUUUCCUAAUAAACCUUUGUGCAUCCAAGUCUUGAACUUUAUAAAAUGCCCUUGGCCUCUUACCCUGAGUUAGGAAUAAAGGGCAUGCAAGUAAACUACUGAUUGACUGAUAAAAGCUGUCGAAAAAGUAGAUACUAAAAACUAAAGCAUCUUACAGAGAUCACUUUCUUGUAUAUUUGUGCAGGGUUAACACAUUCACUAUAUGGAUAUUCACCAGUAAGCAUCUCCAACAUGCACAUGCCAAACGAAUAUACAUCAACAAGCUCAUCAUAGUUCUCGUCAUACAAUUCUGGUGCCAUGAACUCAGGUGUUCCUAUUGCAAUAAAUAGAAAUAAUAAACAAUUAGUAGUAAUUGCGGAAUGUUUGACAAAACACUAGUGCACCUUAGAUUUGAUUGAAGUUUAUAUGCAGUAAAAUCUCAAUAUCAAAGCCAGUCUAGAAAAAUUCAUUUGGACAUUUAGAACACCACAGACCUUGCUUGAUUCACCAAAUUCAAACGUAUACAAAAACAACUAUGCCUCAGUUCCGAACAAGUAAGGUUCACCAAGUUCAAAUGUAUGAUCUCAGAAAAUGUCACCGCUACUUGGUACUCCGCAGAUCUAUAACAGAUUGUGAUGACAAAAGUUCCAGCCAGGAAAAAGGGAAGUGGGAGAUGGAGUUACCUAUAACACUGUGUGCUCUCUGUGAUCCACGAAGAAUUGCUGCCAAUCCCAGGUCCCCAAUCUUCACUUGUCCAAGAUGACCAUUAACAAAUAUGUUAUCACACUUCAGGUCUCGAUGAAUCACUGGCGGAUCAUGUUCAUGCAAAUAAACCAGACCUUCCAGAAUUUGGUGUGCCCAAAUCUUUACAGCUCGAAUAUUUACUCGAUGAUAUUUAUUUCUGUAUCUAAAUUCAAUCAAAUGUAUCCCUAUCAGCAAAUUCAUCACAUUCAAAACAGAUACAUACUUUAACUGAGGGCUGAUACUCCAAAUCUCCUAAUAAUUGUAACAAUAGGCAUCAAAACUCAAAUUUAAAUUCUUAUUUUUUAUGAGACAUUACAGCAGUAAGGUGCCAGAUCAAUAGGACAUAACAUGUAAGAUACAGCCUAAGGAGAAAAUUUUCAAUUAGUCUCAUAAACUAACACGAUUAGUCAUCGAAAUUGGGACCUUUAAGUCCAGGGCCCUCACAUGCAAUAAGUUGCAACAUUAACUAGUGGGCGAAUUUUCUGAUAAAUCAAAGUAAUUGGCUAUCCAACUCAAGCCUAUGUGACAUGACCAAUCAAUAGAUACCACCACCUUUUGUCCUAUAUUCCAUACACCACACUAGAUAGAUAUCAUAUUCAUGGAAUACGAUUCACUUUCAGGAUGCCUUGCUGGUGAAAUGGUAGAAACACGAGACUCACAAUCUCCACAGAGUUGAUUUAACGAUUCGUACCCAUGGGACUCUAAAUUAUGGAUUCGUCACUGCUCAUAACUUUCCAUAUACUUCACAGCAUAACUUAAAAUCACUGCAAUUCGAAGAGAACAAUUACGAUAGACAAGGAAUAGAGCAUUACCCUCGGAGAGUACCGGAAGUGAACAACUCAGUAAUGAAAUUAAAGGUCCUCUUUUCGAUAUCGAUCCAUGAAGUAUAGAAUUUCAUGAUAGAAGGAUGAUUCAGAGUGCUAAGCAAAUGAACUUCAGAGUAAAGCCUCUCUAUAUCCUCUGGUGACUGAAGCAAAUCAUUAAGUCUAAUUUGGCUCCAUGCCACUUCCAUACCUAACAACUCAUCAAUUGCCCUAUAAACUGUUUUCAUUGCCCCUUUUCCCAAAACUUCCUCGAACUGUCCGCACAUGCAUAAACACCAAAAUGCCAAACAUAAUCAAGAAUCAACAAAAACAGUAACUUAAUCUGUUCUACUUAUGGAAAUCAACAAAUCAAGAACUGUAAAUGCAAAAUUGAUCAACCCCAUAUAAUAAAAUGCAACAAAAAGAUUGAAACUUUAUAAAAAGAAACAAGAACUACUAACAACUUGCAAGAAUCAACAAAAACAGUAACUUUAUCUGUUCCAUUUAUGAAAAUCAACAAAUCAAGAACUGUCAAUGCAUAAUUGAUCAAGCCCAUAUAAUAAAAUGCAAUAAGAAGGCAAAAGACUGAAACUUUACAAGAAAAACAAGAACUACUUGCAACAACAUGCAAGAAUCAAUAAAAACAGUAACUUUAUCUGUUCCAUUUAUGAAAAUGAACAAACCAAGAACUGUAAAUGCAAAAUUGAUCAACCCCAUAUGAUAAAAUGCAACAAAAAGGCAAAAAGAUUGAAACUUUAUAAGAAAACACAAAUACUUACACGUCCAUAACGACCAGUAGGGUCAGUUUCAACAUACCCAAGAUCCUCCUCCUCUGAUUCUUUGCAGUUAUCUGAAAAUCCUCCAGAAUACAUAUCAAAAUUGAUUCUUGAGAAAUUGGGCACAAGUUGAAUCUUAAAAAAAAAAGAAGAGAUGAACUAUUUAUUUGUGGAUGUUAAGAGUUACGUGGGUAGCUAAAAUUUGUAUUUCAAGACUCAGUAAAAGAGGUGAUUCAGAGAAGACAACACAACAGAGAAGCCAAAAGGGUCUUGAGAAGUUGCUGACAACCAUUUGAUUGAGAAAUGAGACAAAUGUGAUAGGUUAGUGUGUUUUGAUUUGACAGCAAGAAUAGCACAAGUGAAAAUGGCGGAUACACAAUUUGGACUAAUAGGGCCAGAUUGGAUUUUCUUGGAAAAAAAUUUAAAAAAUAAGAUUUUUACUGGCCAAGUUUUGGAUUUUUGUUGAAGGUGAAAAGAGUAAAUUAGGAAAACAAAUUAAGAACUGGACCAGCUAUUGCUUUGGUGGGAUUAUAAUUUGUUGCUAGGUGACUAAGAAAAAAGAGUGGCAAACAGGAAUAUUGGAAAAGAUAAAAUCUUUAGGUUAGAACUUAGAUCUUUUAUCAAGUGAUAUAAUGACUAGUGCAAGGAAAGAGGGGCUAGAGUGAGAGACGGAGUCAAAAUUUUAAAUUCACGCAUGUUAAGGUUAUAGUCAUAGAUAUAGAUUUUGAAAAUGUAUACCAGAUCUUACGUAAACUUUAUCUAUUUAUAUAAUUCAUGUUCAAGAUAUGAUAAAUUUAAUGAGACAAAAAGGUUGUCAUUAUCGGAAUUCCUUAUAAAAAUUGAAAUGAGUAGAUAUUGAUCGAUAUUAUAAGAUGAUAAAUGUACUACAUGUUAAAGACGAUAAACAUAAUCGAGCAAAGAAAUUGAAUUGUCAAACGUCCCGUUAGAUUGGAACAAGUAGAUGUUGGUCAAUAGCAUAAGAACACUUUCUUAUGUCAAUUUAAAAAACUAACGAGUUCUUCAUUUUUCUUUGAUUCAUCUUACACAUACUAUAGUACACUUUCCAUUCAAGCGUAAAUAUAAGUAUAUAAUUGAAAAUUUGAGUAUCAUUCUAACGUAUCUUUUAUAAUAAAUAAAAAUAUUUUGAGCGAUCUAAACUUGGAGUUUUAAUUUUUUAUGGUUCUCACUAUUUGAAAUUUUGAAUACAACAUCCAUUCACGAGUGGAGGCAAUUUCACCGAUGGAUUUUGCAUUUGACAACUUGAGUCCCACUAAUGUAAUACACAUACAUAUUAUAAGAUGAUUAGACUAAACAUUAUUACAAUUUAUUAUUUAUGAUAUUAUCGAUUAAAUGCAAGUUCCAUAAGUAGGUGAGAUUGAGGAAGACAUUUUAUUUUAUUUAAUAAUAAAAGUAAUUAAUUGUCAAACUAGAUGCACGCCAUUAUGGAAUUGCAAAUUAAAAGGCCACCAAUAUAAUGAUCAACUACGUGGGAAGGACUGUAGUAUUAUUUUUCCUUUACACGCCUCUUAAAAAAUCAUGAAUAUAAAAUAUAUUUUUACUAAUUUUUCAUUUAAUUCUUUUUAAUACACUCUAUUUAUGUAUCGUAUCUCCAUCAGUAUCAAGAUUAAUAAUGAAGAACUUGUUUGGUACUUUACCAUACUAUUUAUACUUCCCAAGAAAAUUAAUUUUAAGGAAAGAAAUGAAUUAAUUUUAUAAAUUGACAAAUAUUUCUUGAUAAAUAUUCCUAGUAACAUGGACAAAUAAUAUGAUACGAAAGGAAUACGGUUGAUGAAAAAGACUUUAAUCUUUGCUAGUGCAGUAGUAUCUCUUUGGAUAAAAAAUCAUUACUAAAGGAAAAGAUCAAUAGAAAUAUUUGAAAACUAUUAUUGAUCUAAGUGCGAUCUGUAUUUUAUCAACAAUUCAAAAAUGUAAGCAUAAAUUGUUAAAUAUAAUUUAUCAUGGUGAAGAAAGUUAGCAUAUUAAUAAGUUAGCAUCCAAAUUAUUGAGGUUAUGUACUUUUAUAUAUAUAUAUUCUAAAUCGUGUAAUUAAUUUAAAUGAUAAAAUAUUUUAGAAAUUAUAUUCUUAAAUCAUGUGAUUAAAUAAUCUUCUGGCAAAACAAUAUGCAAAAAGACGCAUAUCAUGCUAUUAUUAGUAAAGUAUAAAUAUUGGAUUGGCUACUUUAAACUCUUUAAAAUGAUGAUUUCAUCAAACUUAUUCAGUAAUUAUUACUUUAUAACUGAAGGGGCAAGUUUGACUAUUGCAAGGGAAAAAAAUACUUGUUAAAGGCGACACCUGCUCUUAUAUUAUCACGUAAAUAAAUAAAUCAUAUAAUUUGCAAUGCAAUUAUUAAACAAUAUUAUUUGACCAAACUAAUUAAUAAAAUAACUCCAGUUGAUGCACCGUGCACGUACUCUCAUCAUCUCUUCAAUACUCAAUCGUAAAGGAAGAUAUUUUAUUUUCAUUUUUAUAAAAAAAGAAGUUGAUGUCUGACUUGGCUUUAAAAAUAUAAUCUUUUACUUUUAUUUUAAAGAAUUUAUCAACUCACAACAACGAAAAUAUAUCAUUUUCGAUAAAUUUUCAACUCAAAUGAAACAGAAAAUCAACUUGCACUCUUAUUAACUUGAUAUGCUUAUAUUGGUGACGUUAUUAUCAUAGUGAUCAAAGAAGCAAUAUCAAAUAUGCCUUUAAAAAGAUCAGAAAUAGUCAAAUUUGUAAUUGUUCGUACCAUAAACAAGGGCCAACUGCUAAGAUUCUUUUUGAAACACAAGAAUAUAUUUUCUAGAUCCUCUAGUUAGUUAAGCUGACAUAUAACUUUUAAGUAGGUAAAUUUUAUUUUAAUUUUAUAAUUAAUUAAAAUUUGAUGCAUGAAUUGAAAUUAGUUGUUUGGAUACAUCAUCAUGAUUUUAUGUUGAAUUAAAUUCAUGAUUUGGUUCCAUUGAUAAUGACUACAAGUAACUACUCCAGACCCACCAUUGUUAGUAUACAAUGAAUAUAACAAGUUAGGAAAAGUCCUGUCUAUUUCCAAUGAAAAAUAAAUAAAUAAAAAGUAAAAAUCUAAAGAUUGUGUUUUAGCGGUCAGUAAAGUAAAAUGAAAAUUAAGAAGAAAAAAAAUACUCAAACAAUUUCUUCUCAACUUUCUGUUAUAAAGACAAGUUCAUACUUAUGUUGAUGAGAGUUACUAAAUAUUCGAAUGAUAAUUAAGCCACGCACAAAGAAGGUAGAAGAUGAGAGUUUUUUUUUUUUUUUUAAAUUUUCCAUCGGAUAUUUAAUACCUGAUUUGGAAUUAACUAAUUCAAACACAUAUUAUGUAAGAUUUAUUGGAUAAAAAAUGAUUUUUCAUUCCUUAAACUCAAAUAUUAUGCUUUGAUUAAAGAUUAAUAUUCAUAUUCAUCCCAUCAGAACUCUCGAGACGAUAGAGAGGUCAGAAGUCUCAUCUAAAUUCAUUUUCCAUCAAGGAAUGAGUUGACUUAAAAAAAAAAACACUUCAUUUUCUUAUCUAUUUCACCCCCACUAAUAAUUGUUUUUUAUUCUUAUCCACAGAAUAUAUAUUAUUAUUAUUUUUGUAGGAAACAGCAUAUCUCUUUAUGGGCACCCAAAAUUCUUCUCAAAAUCAAAUCACACAUGAUUGUAUUUGUAUUAUUGUAUUAACACUUUCACUUUUCGUUCUCAUCUUAUGUAAUAAUUGAAACACAAAUUAUUUUACUAUUAAAUAAAAAGAAUACACUAUGCACGUGUUCAUUAAAUCCCACCUAGAGACAAAAUAGUACUGUAUUCAUUCCCACUGGUGGGUGAGUUUUGGAAAAACACUCUGAUCUCCUAUCAGAAAAAUUCCCAAUUCUUCUAUUGGAGCUUCAACUCUCACAUAAAGUUCUUGUAUCGAUAAUAUUCUUCGAGAAUCGCUCCAGUACGAUGGACCGAGGGUGGGGGUACGCCAGAAAAAAUGCAACGCGAUAGAAGAAUUCGCUCCACCGCGUAAGAUCCUCAAAUCAAAAUUAACCACGACUAUCAUCUGCGGUCCAUUUUCGUUCUUGUGUUUUUUUUUACACGCCUCAUUAAAAAAACAUUUAUCAAGAAGAAUUUUGACCAUCUUAUUCUUAUUUAUGUCUUAAUUAAGAUAUAUCCUGUUAAAGACAACUAUUUUUAAGAACCGCACUAGAUAAUUUGAGCUUUAUUAGGUUUAAGCUAUAAUCAUUCUAGAAUGGUUGUUACUUAGAAUAAUUAUUUCACUUGAGAUAGACCUUCUUACAAUUGCAUUUGCAUAUUAGUAUUAGUUAUAAGAGUGGAAAUUCAAAAACAACUCUUAAAAUCACUAUCUCUUUCUUUAACUCUAAAGGGCGUGAAUAUGUAGGUCAAGGAAGAAAGAACUGGAGAGGUGAGAAAGAACGGACAUUCCGCGAUUAAUUUUGAUUUCUUGUUUUUUUGUGAAAUUGGACACCAAGAUGGAUCAUUUAUAAUAGAACUAGCCUAAUUUAUCUUAAGAAAAAAUGGGCAAAAUAGAUAUCCCUAAGAAAAAACCGAUAAUUUUUGUUCUAUAUAACAGUGGCACACCCAUUUGUGCACACCUCGACUAUCCUAGAUGUUACCUUUCAUCAACACACGUAUCUAGUAACUCGAACCCCCCCCCCCCCCCCCCCACACCCACCCACCCCCCCCCCCCACCCCAACAAACNNNNNNNNNNNNNNNNNNNNNNNNNNNNNNNNNNNNNNNNNNNNNNNNNNNNNNNNNNNNNNNNNNNNNNNNNNNNNNNNNNNNNNNNNNNNNNNNNNNNNNNNNNNNNGUAACUCGAACCCCCCCCCCCCUCCCGACACACACACACCUACCCCCAAGGCCUAUAACAAGUGAAAUGAGAUCACCCAAUAUCUUGUCUCUGGAAUUCGAACCCUGAUAUCUCAGAGGUUUUCAUCCACUUCAUUGACCUCCAAGUCGCACCCUUAAGUUGGGUGGCACAUCAUUCAUCAAAACUAUUGUCCAAUCAAUGACGAAUCCCAAAAGUCAUGUACUCACUAUUGUCACUGAGACAUCAAAUAUGAAGUAAAAACAGAUGACCAAAGGGAUGUAAAUGCAGCCAAAUCUCCAGAAGGGGCCACAUACUACUGCCAAACAGAGAUAAAAACUGAAGCAAAACAGAUGAGCAGCACCAAAAUGAUUAGAAGCUAACAUGCACUAAAAGUUUGCAUUGGUGGUAACUCAGGAACUACAGCAUUACAGCUAAUGGCGCAACGAAGUUCUGCCAAAGAAACUGUACAGUAUGCAUAUGCUAUGUUACACUACGUUCAUAUAGCUGGCCUCGACUAGAUUGGAACUAAGCUGUAAUUGUUGUAAGCUCCUGCUACCAAAAAGGCUCCACCUAGAUGUGCAUCCAAAAAAAAAAAAAAAAAAAAAACAAACGGAUAUACCGUCUUCAAGUUUCUCUUUUAUAUCUGAUAUCUGCCUAAAGUAUCUGUUUUUGUUAGUUUUCACUGUAAAAUUCCCUUUCAGUCUUCAAACAAGUAGGAAAUCCUAAACCUUCCACAAUGGUAGAGGAGGGAACUCAUCUUCGUUCUUCAGCCUUAACGAAUGCUCUGCAUCCCUGAAAACCAAAUUAGAACUUCAGAUAGUAUCUAGUAACAAAGAUCAUACUACUCCACAGUCUAAAAAUAGAAAAAGUAGGGAACUUUUCCUACCUUCCUAGUUUACUACAAGCAGGUUGUGAAAGUUGCACUUUUUGUGGGACACUCGGAAUCAGGACCACAUCACGAGAAGUGUGUGAAAGCACAUCCCCAGAGAGAUUACCCAGAGAUCCAAAUUCAAUUCUACAUGAUGAAUUCGAGAAAGCAUUGGCAUGAGAUUCUUCGAGGAGGCCAUCAGAUUGGCUAGAAGAGGCUAACUUCUCAUGACCUUCAACAGAAGAUUUUACAGCUGAAAUCUCCUCUGAAUGAUUUGCAUCAGAAAAUGCAACACACUCGUGACUAUGGGUGCCACUAUGCAAAUGAAACUGACCAUGACUUCCUAAUGCCUUACUCUUAGUCCGUCCUUUACGUCUCUCCUGGUGAUAUUCCUGAAAGGAGAUACAAAAACCGCCUCAAGCUUUACAAAAAGAGAGAUACUUAUCUAAACAAACUGAGAUACCAAAAUAUGGGAAAUAAACUGGCCAGAUUGUAAGAGAAAACUACCGUAUUCAGAAAGUAGGUGCCAGUUCCUUGUGCCAUUUCUUUCUUGUCAGAACCUAAAGUAGCAUCAGAUGAUAGAGCAUUGCCAGAAGGUUGAGCAGCUGGUUUCACCACAAGCAUACCAUUCCCAUUUGUUUGCCAAAAUGAGUUCUUUCUAAGUGGUAUUGAUUGUCGGACAGUAUCCCAAAAGUUUUUGUUUUGAGAUGGAGAAGGUGAUGAAGGACUAUUAAGUACUGGUGCUGACAGAUAACACCCAUAGCAACACUGGCCAUAAAGCAAACUCCGUAUAUGGCUGUCAUAGUCCCCACUUAAGUCCACCAAAGGAUUUAUAGCUUCAAUAUCUCCAGCUAUGCUUGCCAAGUCCCUUUCCCCUAUAUCGAGAGUUACACUUUCUAAAACACUGGUCCUUGGACUUGAGAUUUCUGAACCACCAGACCAGAAGUCCUCACUAUAAUCAGUACCUGCUUGGUAAAUGCUGCUGCUCUCCUGAGGGCACUUUGGGGUUUCCACCCCCAAACAAGAAUCAGAUAGGUCACUUAGGCACAACUCAGGUUCACAGUUCCCAUUUUCAACAGAUGAUUUAUUGAAAUAGAACGGACGAGCAUAGUAAUGCUUCCAAGAAAGAGAACUCAUGGAAUUUCCAUUAGAACUACAGUCAUAUGAGCCAUUUGAAACACCGAGAUUUAGAGGUACAGAAGCUAAAGGAUCAUUUGCAUAUCUGUAUUGACAGAAUCCUGACACUAGUGCAUCAUCUGAAAAGGAGCCAUUUUCUGACACCAUCUCUGAAGAAGCUCCAUUCAUCAAACUACUCAACAACUCAUUUGAUAUUGAUGUAUAUGCCUUUUUCAGGCUAUCAUUCUCAAAAUCACCGUCUGAUGAUUUCAGAAGCAUUCUAGCAUUGGCAUAAAAUUCAGCAGGGGAUAAUGAAGAACAUGUGUCUUCAUCACCAAAAAUUAGGCUGGAAUAUUGCAAUUCAGCCACAUGAUUGAGUCUAUGCCUCUCAAUAGUGUUUGCAAAGAACUUCUUGAUCUCAUCAGCAACUUUGUCAUCUGGUGACAAAAGAAUAUCGCCAAGCUUGCGGGCCCCAUACUUAAAAGCUCUUUGUAUUCGAUAGAGAUUACCUGAAGGGAAUCAAAACAUAAUUUAUGCUUGAGACCGAGCAACAUAGACCACCUAAAUACUCAAAGCACCACAAUCAUGCUAUUUCCUGGAAAUAACAUGACAAGCACAUUCUAAGUUUCCAAAACUUCUCUUCUACAGGCAUACUAACUCUCAAAUAACUUAUUACUCCUGGGCAAGCAAUCGUUAAACAUAUUGCUCAUUAUCCAACUAGUGGUGGUAACAAGGCAAGGCUUAAGUACUUCUGGUAGCAACAAAAAAAAGAGAGAAUGCAAAGAUGAAAAGGAAGACUUGGAUAAGCAAACAAAACAAACUUGGUAAUGAUCCCAAUUGUCGCCAAAACAGCAGAAUCAGUUCAUAAGGAUCGGCCAUUCUUCAUAGUUUCUGACUACCCGGAGUACCAGAAAAGGAUAAAAAGAAAAACAAAGAAACAAAGGGGGACGGGUUUCCUAUAUAACAAACUUGUAAACCACAAAAUAUAAGUUAUUCAAGUUGUACCUUUGCUGACACUACGUCCAAGGUUAUUAUUUUCCUUCAAGGGGUCAAUUAUGUUUAGAUACUUCUGUUGAAAUGGUCGUGUGUCCGACUCAAGACCCCUGGAUGGAACUGAGAACAUUUCCGCACUGUUCCUUAAAAACUCCUCACUUAGCAAUAACUCGUUGCUUAUAUAAUCUGGCAUCUCAACUGCAGACAAAUAAACGGUGACUGUGAGAAAAAAACUGAAUAAAGAAAAAUAGAUUCUUCACACAACUAACCCAUAUACCACCCAAAAGCCAAAAAGAGGAGAAACAUCAAUCUCUUUGUAAGCUUAUGCCUAAGUGUGAGAAAAAAUCCUAGAAGGUUGUAGACAUCUGAAGGAGAUCACAAACUACAUCAAUGAAUUAUGAAAGGAAGAGCAUUGCUUACCAAAUAACUCAGGAAGGGAGGAUUUGCAUACUGGACCAUUCAAACUGAUACAAUAUUUGUCCCAAUCAAAUUUGCUGUAGUAAUCCAAAAAUCUAUAGAGAACCUAAAAGCAAGCAAAAACAGGAAUAUUAAAUACACUUAUACUUGCAUACCAAGCUCAAUGCACAAAGUAAAAAGGCACAAACAAGUAAUUACCGCUAGAGGACCAUUUAGCGAUGAAUGGAACAGUUGGAAUAUAAAUAAGACCAGUGUUUCCAAAGCAUAUGUAGAAAUCAGACCAUGAUGUGCACCAAGAACACGACUUUCAUAAUAGCACCAAGCCUUUAUCAAAAUAAUGCUACGUUUGAAUAGAUGAUUUUUACCAACAAGGCGAUCUACCUGCGGUCAUGAAACAGAGAAGACAAGAAUAAAAUUAGCUGUUCAUUUCCUCAUUUAACAUGAAACAGAAGAAUAAAAUCAAUUGAUCAGAGGGGGAGAUAUUUAAAAGGACAAUAAUCUGAAAUAGAUAAUAAACAACUAAACUCUAUCAGACAUUUGUUUAAAAAGUAAAAUGUAGCUCAUUUUAAGCACCAAUCGCAUAAAAAAAAGUUGGUCCAAAUACUGCAGAAUGGAGAGAUAUAUGAUGAUGUCAACACUCAGCUAUAUAUAUUAUUAAACGAGUAGAAGUUUACAACCACCUGGUAAUUAGAGAGGGAAUUGAGCAGGUAAGAAAUAACAAGAACCAAUUAACCAAAAGAUCCCCACUCUAUCCAACAGCAUACUGCUGUAGUUAAAUCAAUACCUAUAAGGCCAUAACUAAAAGAGGUGCAUUCUCUGUUUUAGAGAUUCCAUUAAACCCUUUUUCAGUUCCAGUUGUUUCCGCUUAACCAAUACAUGCAAAACAUCUUGUAUAUAAGAGUCUUUGAAAAAAAAAUUAAAGCACGCUCUAUCACAUUAACACAGUCAUUGACCCACAUCCGAGCACCUAUAGGAACAAGAUUAUUUGAAUGUUGACAGUUAGCUGGUAACUUACCUGCUCAAGGAAACAGAGUGUGCUAAGUCCUCCUAACUGAUUAAAGGAAAUAUCUAUCACAGUAUUUCGUACAAUACAUUUCACGAGCUUAACCUGCCAUGAGAAAUUCAAAACUUCUCAAACUUUAACAGAUAAUAAAUAAUCAAUUAAGCAUAAAUCUACUGAAUGACUAUGGAUAGCCGAACUAAAUAGAUAGUAGUACACCUCUAUCAAACAACAUUCAAUUACGAUAACGUUCAUCGAGCUACUAAAACUGCAAGCCNNNNNNNNNNNNNNNNNNNNNNNNNNNNNNNNNNNNNNNNNNNNNNNNNNNNNNNNNNNNNNNNNNNNNNNNNNNNNNNNNNNNNNNNNNNNNNNNNNNNNNNNNNNNNNNNNNNNNNNNNNNNNNNNNNNNNNNNNNNNNNNNNNNNNNNNNNNNNNNNNNNNNNNNNNNNNNNNNNNNNNNNNNNNNNNNNNNNNNNNNNNNNNNNNNNNNNNNNNNNNNNNNNNNNNNNNNNNNNNNNNNNNNNNNNNNNNNNNNNNNNNNNNNNNNNNNNNNNNNNNNNNNNNNNNNNNNNNNNNNNNNNNNNNNNNNNNNNNNNNNNNNNNNNNNNNNNNNNNNNNNNNNNNNNNNNNNNNNNNNNNNNNNNNNNNNNNNNNNNNNNNNNNNNNNNNNNNNNNNNNNNNNNNNNNNNNNNNNNNNNNNNNNNNNNNNNNNNNNNNNNNNNNNNNNNNNNNNNNNNNNNNNNNNNNNNNNNNNNNNNNNNNNNNNNNNNNNNNNNNNNNNNNNNNNNNNNNNNNNNNNNNNNNNNNNNNNNNNNNNNNNNNNNNNNNNNNNNNNNNNNNNNNNNNNNNNNNNNNNNNNNNNNNNNNNNNNNNNNNNNNNNNNNNNNNNNNNNNNNNNNNNNNNNNNNNNNNNNNNNNNNNNNNNNNNNNNNNNNNNNNNNNNNNNNNNNNNNNNNNNNNNNNNNNNNNNNNNNNNNNNNNNNNNNNNNNNNNNNNNNNNNNNNNNNNNNNNNNNNNNNNNCCCCCCCCACGCACGCGCACCACACCAAAAAAAAAGAAAUAGGCAUGCUAAUAGCUCCCCUAUGCUUAGACUCAAGUAUCCAUCUUCCAUAGGUGGCAGGAUAUCAAGAUAAAAACUAUUUGUAGCUGUGAAAGAAUUGUGAAAUACUUCAUCCAACCCAGUUCGUUUUACAGACUUUGAAGGUUUGAGUAUACUUCUGUCAUUAGAGUUAGGAAAGAACCUCAGCAUCAAUAAAUUGGGGAUCCUUGACAUCAUACUCAGUAUUUUCCUUUAGCUCUUCUUCCUGCAGAACAGCGAGAACAUCACGGGCUAAUGUUUCUUCAAUAACAGGACUGCCAAAAACAGUCAAAUCAAUGUCACCAUCAGGAAGGUAGGUCUUCAGUGGCACUGAUCCAUAUGAGAAAACCUGUAUGACAAACAAGUAUAAUCAGCAAAACUCAAUUAAGAUAAUAGAUAGCGAGAUAUACCUUAAAACAGUUAGAAAACAUAAAACAGAAGUGACAUGCUUCAAGCACAAUAUGUGAUGAUAAACUUAGGUUUCAAGUUCAAGCACACCAGACUAUGCAAUAUUGAAGCUGAUGCCAACUAAGGAAGCAGAAUGUAAUUUGAAGCAGGGGUGAUCCAGGAUUUAAACACUAUGGGUUCGAGUUCGGAAUUCCAACACAUAACAUUUGAUUUACUGGAUAAGAAAUCAAUAAUCUGUCCUUAUUUAGUGGGAUUUUAGCACAUAUACAAUGUCCAAUCCAAAGCUACUUGGUUUGGAAUUCUACUAUGCAAUGUAUGCUAGAUCCGCCCCAGAUUCAGAGAGAGAAAAAAACAUUCAACUAUUCUGUGGACAAUAAAGCUAGAGAAGAUUUGAACAUUUCAAAUGUAUAGAGUUGUUCAAGUUAGUCGGCUGGAACAAAGGGGUUCAUUUUUUACUAAGUUAUGCAUUAUGUUAAAACUGUAGUAGAAUUAAAAGAUGAAUCACACACUUCGGUCUUAAUCUGAUAUGUUUAAUUAACAACUAAAUUAGUUUCCUGAUCUUGAAUUGACUCAGAGGUGUAUAAAGAACACUUAAAGAGACAAGAAACUACUUGACACGCAAUGAAAGAAAAAACAGCUAUGGAAGUAAGUGUUGUCAGCCUCAUCAAUAAGGAAUCAGCUUACACUUUUACUAGCAGAAAUAAAUUAGUGAAAUAUCACUCCUGAAGUAGUGCGGCAAACAUUACAAUGAAAUAUCCUGGUUUACCGAAAAAUAGAUGAACGAGUAAGAAGUAAAUCUGCCAGAAGCGAAUCUUCAGCUUAACACUACAAUCUGCAGUAGAACUUUAAUUUUUUUAAAAUUGGCCACCAACGGGGGUGGCCUAGUCAUGCAGUUGAAGAGCUAAAGAGACAACCUUCAGAGCCAAGGUCCUAAUCUCAUCAAAGUGAAACUUAUAUUAAUUGAAUUCUUCCCAUCUUCCUAAACAUUGAUGACUCGGUACAUGUGCUGGUGUGAAGCAGCAAGGACUAGGCGGAUUAGUCGAGGUGUUUGUAAGUAGGCACAAACAGCAUUUUGUUAUUACAAAAAAGAAAAUCUCUUCCAAUCCUGCUUUAAUUACACGUCAUUUGAGUCGAGGGUCUACCCGAAACAACACUCGACAGACCUCACUUGUGGGAUUGCAAUAGGUAUGUUGUAGUUGUUGUAAAAAAGGAACGCCGCUAAUAAUGUAGUAAAACGGUCGCAGUAAAUAGCGAUUUUGUUCUCUUCCAACUACAAAAAACAAAAAUCUCUUCCAAUCCUGCUUUAAUUAAUUUGAGUCAAGGGUCUACCCAAAACAACACUCAACAGACCUCACUUGUGGGAUUACAAUAGGUAUGUUGUAGUUGUAAAAAAGAAACGCCGCUAAUAAUGUAGUGUAACGGUCACAGUAAAUAGUGAUUUUGUUCUUUUCCGACAACCCCCACCCCCCACCCCUUCUUUCUUACCAUCUUAGAUUAGUAAAGUAUCCGUUGAGAUAGAUCGUAAACGACUAAGUUUACCCUUAUCUGUUCAGCAGAUAUGAAAAAACCAUCCAAGAAAAUAAUGUAGUACAACGGUCGCAGUAAAUAGCGAUUUUGUUCUUUUCGAACUACAAAAAAGAAAAAAUCUCUUCCAAUCCUGCUUUAAUUACACGUCAUUUGAGUCAAGGGUCUACCCGAAACAACACUCAACAGACCUCACUUGUGGGAUUACAAUAGGUAUGUUGUAGUUGUAAAAAAGAAACGCCGCUAAUAAUGUAGUGUAACGGUCGCAGUAAAUAGCGAUUUUGUUCUCUUUCGACAACCAUCCCCCCCACCUUUCUUUCAUACCAUCUUAGAUUAGUAAAGUAUCCGUUGAGAUAGAUCGUAAACGAUUAAGUUUACCCUUAUCUGUUCAGCAGAUAUGAAAAAACCAUCCAAGAAAAGGUAACACACUGUUUUGUAACCCCCAACAAGUUGACCAAUCCCCCAACCCCCAACACCAUCCAAAAAAAAAAAACAUACCAAGAGAACAUCUGAUGAGUUAUCAAUUGAAAGCUAAAAUAACAUUUCGAUUGAAUUGGAACAGCAAAUAGACAUGCAAAUUCAGGAAUCAACAGCUAAAAUCUCAAUUAUGCAAUCAAUUAAUCAAAUCAAAUUAAAUUCAGGAAAAAAUGACCUCGCAUCCAAGAGUACAUCUGAUGAGUCUCUGCACAUAAUCAACAACAUCUUUCCUCUUCUCUUCAGUAUCAAGAGUCGGAUGAACACAAUUCACAACCUCUUGUACAGCUUCUUCAGCAACAGCCCAACUAUCCUCCGUAACUGCCGAUGGAUCAGGACCCAACAUUUCCACCCAUCGAGGCUCCAUUUCAACCCGGUUUACGACUCCACAAGAACCCAUAACCCCCCUUCCUUAUCAACCAAAAAAAAAAAAUUAAAAAAAAAUCCUGAUUAAUACCCAAGAAAAUUGUAGGGUUUUAGAGGCCAUUGACAACAUGGAAUGUUCUAGACAAAGUAAACAAAUGGGUAAAUGGGGGAAAAUGAAGAAAAAAUAUUGCUAUAUAUAGUAUUUAUGUCAUGUAUAUUUUUUUUGGAUAUCGGUAAUCUGAUUAUCGUCUUUAAUGUCAAGAAGAAAAAGGGAACAAAAAAUUCCGGAGAAGGAGACAAUUCUCAAUUGCCCCCACCUCCCCCCAUAACCCUACCACCCCUACCCCUCUCUGUUCUUGUUUUCUUCCUCAAAAUCCAAAAAAACUUUCUUCUGCUUUUCUUCACAUCCGUUUCUACCUGCAAUUACGUGCAAUUCUUGUAUACAUAUAUAUAUGUUUUGGGUUUUUUUUUUCUUCGAGAUUACUCUGUUUUCUGUCGGACACCGGUGAACUCUACGGCGGAACACGGUGGCGCAAUGUUCAAAUGCCGUUAUUCAUAACUUAUCUAAUUUUUGCUUUACGACUUUAUAUAUCCCGAUCAAACUUUAUUAUAUAUACUAAAAUUUAUGUGACUUUUCACUUUUCGAAAUUCGAGUUAAUUAAACGUUAAAUGUUAGUCAAAUUAAUUUUCGCAAAGUAAAAACAAGUCAUGGUAUUAGUAAUAAUACGUAAUACAAACUUACUUUCGAUUAAUAACCAUUGAUUGAAAACAUCAUAUUUGUUUGUCUUGUGAAAAGAUUUAAGACUAUUUGGAAAGAAUUUUUAGAGCAAAUAAUUAGAUGUUAACUAGUAUAGAGAUAUUUGAUUAUUAUUUUUCAUGAUUUUAUGCAAAUAUGGGAUGUUUAUAUAUCAAUUACUUUUUUUUCCUAGAUUGAAUUUUUUUAUUUAUUAUAUUCAAGUCAAAGAAAUUCAUAGAAAAUUUUAUUGUUUUUUUGUGUCAAAUAAUAUUUGAUAACAUAAAUUUAAAAAUACUUUAUUUAUUAAGACUUUAAUUUAUAGAUUUGACUCUACUGUAGCCCCACUUUAAACAAAUUCCCUUUUAUGGAAAAUUCCUAAAAUAAAAAGAAAGAGAAUCUGGAACUCUUCUUCCUCGAUUUAUUCCUAUGAAUAAUUAGUUAGGAGAAUAUUAUUUUUCCUUUAUUGGAUAGGAUAAAUAACAAAAUAAAUGUUUUAGCAUUUAUAAUUUUACUUUAAGUAGACGUUUGAAUAUAGAUUUGACUGAUACUUGGAAAAAUUAAAAGUAUUUUUAAAGUUGAAAAAUAAUUUUCAACGAUUGAAAUUGUAUUUGAACAUGCAUUUCAAUUUUAAAAACCCACGUCUCCAAUUGAUCAAAUUUGAAAAAAAAGUCAAAACGAAAAGUCCAUUCCAAUAUAUAACCAAACAUUGCUUUAAAAAUAUCUUUUCUUAAAAAAAAAAAACAUUUUCAAAAUAUUAUAUUUAUACGUCCGUAGAAAAUUUAAAAAAAAACUUCUAUUAUUUUUAUAUUUUCUUUUCUAUAAUUUUAAUUUAUAUAUAUAAUAUUGAUAUAGAUGAGUUUAAAUUGAAUAGUAUUAUACAUACAAAUUUAUAUAGUUGAUUUUAACGUGUUAGGGAUCGAGCCAUAAUUGCUAUCGUUGUUAUCGCAGUGUUUCAACAUUUGUGAAAUCGAGAUGAGUCAAAAUUAUUUAAUUUCAUUGUUGACAUUAAUUUUUUUUCUUCUUCUAAUACGACUAGACAAACAUGAUUUCAAAAUUCAGAUUUUUGGUCUGGACCAUCUUGAUAUUUUUAGACUUAGAACUUUAAUCAUUUUUCACAUGCAUCUCAUUUUAGCAUUAAUUAAUAUAUUCCUGUACUAUGAUUUAAUUAACAAUUUGAGAGAGAAUAAAAUGGCUUAGCACUUUAAAAAUCAUUUGUCACAUGCAUCUCAUUUUAACAUUAAUAUAAUAUCCUCGUACUAUGAUUAAACAAAUUGAGAAAGAAUAAAAUACCAUAAAAAAACCCGUAAGGAUAAUUAGGUUGGUACAUAGAUAGUAGUACUUAAUAAAGGAAGUCACACAUCAAUUUCUUAUAUCAACGUUUUCUCGAUCUAAUUUGUCACAUUGAAUUUGCCUAGUACAAGAAUUAUUGCACAUGAGUGAAUUUAUCUGAUGCAUGCACACCUAAAAAAUAAAAAUGACGAAUCUCCACGAUAAUUCCAAAAUAAUCCACCAAAAUAAAAUAAUUAAUUAAUUAUCGUUUAGAUAAUGAAAAAACAAAUGAUUUAUCACCUAAAUGUGUAACAUAGCAAGUAAAAAGAUCAACCAUGUGUAACAUAUCAAGUGCCACCAUGUGAAUACCUACUUGCUUGUCGCAAGUCGCAACAUAAGUUUUCAGUCGAUUUGUCUUUUAUUUAUUGACAAUGUAAAAAAUAUAUAUUUAUAUAAUUUAUACAGUAAACGUUAAAAGAAUAUUAAAUUUAUUAAAACAUGAGUUUUAUGACAAUUUUGUCGUUUACUUAUCGAUAGUGUAAAAAGUAUAUUUACUACGGUAGACGUUAAAAAAAUAUUAAUUUUAUUAAAAACAUGAGUUUUAUGUCAAUUUUGUCGUUUACUUGUCGAUAGUGUAAAAAGUAUAUUUACAUCAUUUAUACGGUAGACGUUAAAAAAAUUAUUAAUUCUAUUAAAAACAUGAGUUUUGUGUUAAUUUUGUCAUUUACUUAUCGAUAGUGUAAAAAGUAUAUUUACAUCAUUUAUACAGUAAACGUUAAAAAAAUUAUUAAUCCACAUUUAACAUUCACAAAAGAAUUUGCAAUAUUAUUUUGUGCAAAGUUUAUUGUUCACAUCUUCGCUUAAAUAAGCAAUGCUAUUUACUAUAACACAUAUUUUCUGAAUUGGUAAUCACGUGCAACACACGUGUCAAAAAAUUAGUUUUAUUAAAAACAUGAGUUAUGAGUCAAUUUUGUCGUUUGCUUAUCGAUAGUGUAAAAAGUAUAUUUACAUCAUUUAUACAGUAAACGUUAAAAAAUAUAUUAAUUUUAUUAAAAACAUGAGUUUUGAGUCAAUUUUGUCGUUUACUUAUCGAUAGUGUAAAAAGUAUAUUUACAUCAUUUAUACGGUAAACAUUAAAAAAAUUAUUAAUUUUAUUAAAAACAUGAGUUUUGAGUCAAUUUUGUCGUUUACUUAUCGAUAGUGUAAAAAGUAUAUUUACAUCAUUUAUACAGUAAACGUUAAAAAAAAUAUUAAUUUUACUAAAAACAUGAGUUCUGAGUCAAUUUUGUCGUUUACUUAUUGAUACUAUAAGAAGUAUAUUUACAUCAUUUAUACGGUAAACGUUAAAAAAAUUAUUAAUUUUACUAAAAACAUGAGUUUUGAGUCAAUUUUGUCAUUUACUUAUCGAUAGUGUAAAAAGUAUAUUUACAUCAUUUAUACGGUAGAUGUUAAAAAAAUUAUUAAUUUUAUUAAAAAUAUGAGUUUUGAGUCAAUGUUGUCGUUUACUCAUCGAUAGUGUAAAAAGUAUAUUUAUAUAAUUUAUACAAUAAACGUUAAAAAAAUUAUUAAUCCACAUUUAACAUUCACAAAAGAAUCUGCAAUAUUAUUUUGUGCAAAGCUUAUUGUUCACAUCUUCGCUUAAAUAAGCAAUGCUAUUUACUAUAACAUAUAUUUUCUGAAUUGGUAAUCACGUGCAACGCACGUGUCAAAAAACUAGUUUUAUUAAAAACAUGAGUUUUGAGUCAAUUUUGUCGUUUACUUAUCAAUAGUGUAAAAAGUAUAUUUACAUCAUAUAAACAGUAAACGUUAAAAAAUAUAUUAAUUUAUUAAAAACAUGAGUUUUGAGUCAAUUUUGUCGUUUACUUAUCGAUACUGUAAAAAGUAUAUUUACAUCAUAUAAACAGUAAACGUUAAAAAAAAUAUUAAUUUAUUGAAAACAUGAGUUUUGAGUCAAUUUUGUCGUUUACUUAUCAAUAGUGUAAAAAGUAUAUUUACAUUAUUUAUACGAUAAACGUUAAACAAAUUAUUAAUCUUACUAAAAACAUCAGUUCUGAGUCAAUUUUGUCGUUUACUUAUUAAUAGUGUAAGAAGUAUAUUUACAUCAUUUAUACGGUAAAUGUUAAAAAAAUUAUUAAUUUUACUAAAAACAUGAGUUUUGAGUCAAUUUUGUCGUUUACUUAUCGAUAGUGUAAAAAGUAUAUUUACAUCAUUUAUACGGUAAAUGUUAAAAAGAUUAUUAAUUUUACUAAAAACAUGAGUUUUGAGUCAAUUUUGUCGUUUACUUAUCGAUAAUGUAAAAAGUAUAUUUACAUCAUUUAUACGGCAAACGUUAAAAGAAUUCAUUGAAUGUUAUUAAAAGUCGCGCGACAAAAAAGCUUAUCUUUUUUUCACAUAUACAGUGAGAUAGAGAUAUCGUUCCUACACGUUUAAGGAAAAGCCAAACUUAUACAGAGUAUCAUUUUCGUCGUUUUUCAUAAUUCCGUUACACAGUGGGUCACACACAAGUUUUAAAGAUUAUGUCAUCUUUACAGAUGUUCAUGAGUCGGUUUGAGUCGAUUGUUGAUUAAAUACUAUUAACAUAAUUUUACUCGAUGUAACAAGCCACUUGUCACAAAAAUAUAUCCAUAAAAUAUUUUCAAAUGACCUGAUAAUGUAAAAAAAGAAUCGUAUUUUAUAAGUUUAAAUAGCGUAGACCACAAAUUUAUUGGGUCACGGUUUAAGCGUGUAUACUUUCUAUGACAUGACGGUAUACAAAAUAAUUCUGUUUGUUUGGAUAAUGUCUUUUUUUAUGUAAUACAACAAAGUGACAAAUCCUUUUUAAGUAUGAAAAGGAUAAGGAAUCUUGAAAAAUUGCAAGGGGGACCAUAUCAUAAGUUGUUUAAUAGUAACUCUUUUCUCGGAUCAACUUACAUUCAUCUCGAUUAAUUUUAUGAAAUAUGUUACCUUCCAUCAACGAAGACAUUUUGAAUGUUUUUAUUUCGACAAAAAUUUAAAAAAUCUCAUAAUUCUCAACUACUUUAUUGAUUUCAUAUUGCAUACUUCAAAUCACUUGGAUUGAAACGUAAUUGUAAAAUUUGGCAAAAUACGAAAGGCUUGUCAAUUAUCAUAGUGCAUAAUCAAUGAUGAAAUGAUUAUUAAGUUGCAUUAGCCAAUUAUUAUUUUUCAUUAUUUUUAAGCCAUAAAGAAGGACGAAGCAAUUUCAUCCUCUUUCCCUACUUUAAUUUUCUCAUUGGAGACUCAUUUUUAAUCAAGUUUGAUUGUUUGAUCAAUAAAUUUGAUAUUCCAACGUCGAUCACUAUAAAACUAAACACUAAUUUAUACGUCAAUACUUUCUGAAAACAGAAUGGAGUUGAUUUCUCAACCACUCAACUAGUAAUAGUAGUUAUUAUCUUAGAAUAUCAUUUUCUCUGUUGAAGAAAACUAGAUUUAACAAGAAAAGUGGUAUUCUGAAAUAAUAAGUAUUAGUUGAGUGACUAUCCGAGAAAUGAACCUAAAAAGAACGGCUGGGAAACCACAUCCACAACCCAUAACCUUCUAUUUUUAACAAGUAUUCUGCAACUUUUUAUAAGCAUUAAUAAGAAAAAAGAAUGUCUUCCCAACUUUUGUAUCACAAUCAGUGUAGUGCAAUCACCAUGAGUUAAUCUAAACUAAAAAGGGACAGCCCGGUGCACUAACUCCCGCUAGGAGUUAAUUUAACUACAACUUCCUAAUAGGACAACUUGCUAUUAAGGUAACAGUCUGAAAGGAUACUUAUUCCUUCUUACCUCGAGCAAUAUCAACAAGAUAUCUAUUCAAAUGCUGGCCAAAAAUCUUGGUAGAGAAUGACUCAGCAACGUGUUGACGAGCAUCUUGCCCCAUUUUUUCAGACAUGUGAGGAUCCUGAAUAAAAUUAGACAUUGCUGAAGCAAACUCUCGUGGGCUAGGGUCACAGAGGAAGCCCGUCACGCCAUGCUUUACUGUCUCCACUGGACCCCCACUAUUGCAGGCAAUAACAGGUUUAUAGGCUGCCAUUGCUUCCAAAGGAACAAUGCCAAAAUGCUCAUCCUACUCUUCCAAAAAAGGAAAGAAAAUGUCAUCCUACUUUCAAGGUGAAAAAAACAUGGGAAAAGACGGAGAUGCUCCUUCUAACAGCAUACUCCAAGGUAAGACAAACAUUCCUCCAACAAGUCACUCUCGAGAAACAUACCUUUGGUGUAUAAAGAACACAUAGGCAUUGGCCAAGGAGUGCAUUUCUCUCAGCAGUAGAGCAAGAUGUGAUGAAUCUGACCCGCUGAGAAACACCUUCCCUUUCUGCCAACUUUUUCAGUUCUUCUAGAUACUCAACAUUCUCUCUAAGGCGAUUAUCAAAGCCUCCUGAAAUAAAAGCAGGAAGAACUCUAUUAGCAUGCAAGAUGAUUUCUUUUGAGUAUAUAUUCAGCCACUGAUGGUAGACAACGGGUAUCUUGGACUCGUUUAUUGAAGUAUACUUUAAAUCCAUCUAUUCAAGGUAUUAAGGGCACAUAAAAAGAAAAAAAAAAGGGCUUAUCAUCAAAGGGAGACAAGCACCCAAAAAAGUCCUAUAGCUAACUUGAUCAAUAACAAGUAGCAUCUGAUUUUUAUAUAGUUUCAGGGCACUAAAUAUCCUUAUCAUUUACAUGAGAUCAGACAGGUUCAUAUAUCUUAUUGGCUCUAGAUAAACUCCGCAAAACCUAAACAGCAAGAUAAAUAAGGCAAAUCAACCAUACAAGAUGAAUACCAACAGCAAAUAAAAGAGAUGACAGAAGCAAAACAGAGAACAAGGAAAUGUUGGUGGAUAAUGCAGCAUACAUUGAAGUUGAAGAAUUGAAGAAACUUGCCUGCAACAGUCAAGGAAACAUCAUUCAUGUUAACUCCUUGAUGAUCAUGGACUUCAUGGGCGUGAACCAUGGCAAAGGCAGAUAUUGCCAAUUCUAUGUUCUUUUUUCUCUCAAAUCGAUUGAUGGAUAGAAAGUUCAGCCUAAAAGAAAUGAACAACAGAAGUUAUCACUGUAUUGCUCCAAUUUUAUCAGAUGCCCCUCCAAGGGACAAAGGAAUAACUGAAAUGACACUACCAUCUGAUAUAUUAGUUGUGUUUCUUUGAGCUCUAUGGAGUAACCUUCUCUCUACCUCCCUACUAUCCCUCCCCUCCUCCCUCUAUUUUAAGAGCGCAAGGAAGGGCAGGAACUCCAGGGCAGAUGCAUUUGAAAAUUAAAAAGAAACAAAUAUUGAAAUCUGUUGUGUUAUUGCAAUCAGACCUCGAACUAGAAGGUACCAAGAGAUGGAAAGGUGUCUCUUACUUGAUGGCAUCAGGUUUCUCAAACUGAUCAACAUUGACAGCUGGGUACAAAACAGCUGGUUUAAUCCCACAAGCAUCUAGGUUCUUGAAAGUUGAUGCAAAAGUAGAUGCUGUAAACCUGCUGUUAACCAGAAUCAAAUCUGCCAUUCCUAUAGUUUAACCAAGCAAUCAAAGAAGAAGCAGAUGUUUGAACAGAUAAGAAAACACAAGUAAAACGUCGAUAACAGAUAAACAACACCACGGACAGAAGGCAAAAUGUCAACAAAAACCUGUUGUUAUUUCUUCUAUGAAGUCAAUAGGUUUCCGAUAUAUCCUCCUAAGAAUAGUUGUACGUUGCGCCAGCAAAAGAUCUGGAAAAUGGCAAUAGAAUACAACCUGCAUGAGGUAUAAACUUCAUAUAUAUCUCAAUGAUCAUUACAUAGCAGUUGAUUUCAUCAAAUCCAUCAAAAUACCUUAGCAGACUUCUUUAACUUCAAUAUCGGAACGACAACAGAGACUUGAUCUGCUAGAAUUACAUCAAAUGAAGGCCACAUAAACAACAAGCAGAGAGCAACAAACAUGCACCGCAAGUAUGCACAUACUGCAUGAAGCCGAUAAAAGAUAUGUCGAGGAAGAAAAGCACCAUAAACUGUAAUAUCAAACACACCUGUAAAGUGGUAUUCACAUCAGUAAGGGCACAAUGGAUGUUUGUUUAGCAUAUGACUUGAGUAUAGAAAGUAAGAUUUCUAACCAGACAGAGUCUCCUCAAAACAUCGAUUUUUAUCAUGAUGUGAAGUAAAAAUGUGAACUUUAUGCCCUAAAGAAGCAAGUUCCAUAGCAGCAUCAACAAUUAGCCUUUCAGCUCCACCUAAACAUGAUAAAAUAUGCUUCCAUUAACCCAUAGAUCUGCUCAUUGACGCAAAAAAUUAUUAUACCCAUUUUUUUGAAAUUUAUGAUCUUCUACAAAUAACUCAUUUGAUCAAGGAUUCAACAAAUUGCAAUGAUAAACAGAUCUAUGAAAGAAAUAUAAAUAUGUGUAGAUAAUAAUUUACCGAUUCCGAGAUCAGGAUGGAUUAUCGCGAUAUUCAUCUUCGAGCUCCCUUUUUUCUCCAUUGUUGUUUAUGAGAAAAAGCGGGUGUAGGGGAAAAUAGAGAUAAAAAACGGGUCGGGUCAAUAGCCGGAGAUUGCUGAAGGAGAAGAGGUGGCGGAGAAAGUCAUCCGAUUGCUUUACUUCGCCGGCGCUGGAUGUAAAAUUACACUUUUAGUCCGUCCUGAUUUUUUUUUUAAAAAUAAUAUAAUUUUAAUAUUCUCAUUAUGCAAUUUGAAAAAUAUUCUUUAUUUUCUGAAAAUUUAUGUUUCAAUAAAUAAUGUCAUGUAAAUUAAAUUAAAAUGAAAGAGAUGUUUUUAUUUUUGUUGUCGUUGGGUUGUUUUCUAAUAGGGCACACAUUAAACAAAUGCUUAAAUAAGACCGAAAGGGGUUAUCUAAGUGGUAAACAUCUUUUGCCUCGACUUUAAGUUAUGAAUUCGAAUCACUAAAGAAGCAAAAGGGAGCUCCUAGAAGAGGUAAAAAUACAAAAUGAAACUUGGAUAUCAUUUAUCGAGUGAGAAAUACUAAAAGGAUUGUUGGCCCUUGAAUAAUUAUUAAUCCCUCUAUCCCAACGACACAGUUAAAAUUUUGAAUUUUAAUUUCUAAAUUCUAACUUGUGAAUUUGAACAUAGAAACCUUCAGCCUUUUAAAAUAAUAUAUGUAUAUUUAAAAAUUACUAUAAAUCACAAUAAUUAGUAAUGUAGAGAAUUCUGUCUGUCUUAGCCUUUCUCCUCCCCCUUGCUACUCCUUCAACUUACCCUAUUUAAUUUUAUUUAGGCAAUUUUAUGUAGUCACCUUAAAUAGGGGAAAAGGUGAAGAGAAAAUUUACAUCAUCUCAAUUAAAUAUUGAAAGUUACUAUGUAAAACCCUCAUAUAUGGGAAGAGACAAGAACUAAAAUAAUUAAAGACGAGCAAAAUGAACAAAGAAAUCUAAUCAAUUCGAAUUCAACAUCUUCAUUUGCUUCAUAUGAACAAAAACUAAUCCAAGAAAGAAAUAAUUUGAGAGCUGCUGAGGAACAUAAUACUCAACUAGGUAAAUUAGUAUAGUAUAUAAGUGUGUCUAACUAGUACAAGUCUCGAUAACAAAAAUGCUAAGUUGCGACAGCUAUCCUUAUACUUCAAAUCUACCAACUGCAAUGCAAAAUAGAAAACUAUAUUCUUUUCAAAUGUUGUAAGUUGUAACACAUUGUGUGACGUAUGGAAAACUUUGCAGACACAUCUUCAUUGCUGAAAACGUCUACCUAUACUCUGAUCAAACGGCUAGCCAAUAGCCAACCGUUAGAAGCUUUAUACGUGCUGAUCCUUGCUAGAAUUCCAGCUAGGGGCCUGAGCAACAACACUAUCUGGUAAAUUGCCAGAGCCUUUUUCAACAUUUAUUAGAGGAUCGGUUUCACUUUCGUUUACCUUCAACCACAGAAACAACAGAGAGAAUUAGUAAAUCUAUGUUCUAAAUGCAUAAAGGAAAGAUGAUAGUAAAACACAAGUCCCCACCAGCUUCUGGAACCGUGACCAUUCGGUAUAAGCACUAGAAGAGUAGUGGUUUAAAAUGAAGGGAGCAUAAGGUUUUAGAGUUUACUUUUCUUCCAAAUCUGCCUCUCCCAUGGCCCAUGCCACUAACUAAUUAAACCAUUUUGCAAGUUUCGUUUUCUUUCCGUCUAGAAGUGCAGUGUAAUGAGGUGACACACAAUGAGGCAGUAAAGGGAGCACAAGAAUUUAAUGACAACUUUCUUCUAGAUCUGCCCCUCUAACGACUUAUGCCACUAACUAAACGAUUUCAGAAGAAAUAUUGCAAAUCUAGUACUAGUGUAAUGAGGUGGAAUGAAGGGAGGUAGUAUUGGACAUCGUUAACAAUCAUCUUGCAAAUCAAGAUAUUGCACAAGUUGGUGUAUGAUAAUAUGAAAUACCUUUUUUGCCUAGCACAAUGUGGAACACCAAAAAACAAAGGUGUAAUACCUGAGACAGAAGGGAUGCAGCCUCUAUAGACUUCUGCUGGCUCUCAAUGGAACAACAAUAUGAAUAGAGUAUCAUCCCAAGCAUAGCAAUGACGAUACCCAGAAUGUUUCGCCAGCUGAAGGGAUCACGAAGUAGAACAUACCCAAAGGCCAAAACAAGACAUGUUUUUAGAUGCCCAAGGACCUGAUAGGUGACUGGAGAAGUCUUGCCAAUUACCAAAAAAGUACUGAAGUUCACAGAGACGGAUAUAAGGCAGGAUAGAACAAUAAAGGCCUGCCAUCAACACGUUGAAGUUAACAAAUAGUGCUAAAUGCCAAUAUCUAGAUUAAAAUUGAAAAUGAUUUUCUAACUUACCACCACAUUUUGUGUGUAGUUGAAAGCAAAUACAUUCUGAUUUGUCAAAAGCCAAUCUAAAAAUGGUCCUACUAUAAACAAAGUAAUUGAUUGAUAAGGACAAGAUUGAUACAGGAGCUGGGUUGAAGAAACCUUGAACUUCUUCUGGAUGGUAUUCGUCAUCUAAGAAGAUGGGUUAAGAUAUCCAAGCAAGAGAUGAUAUGAUGUAAUAGCUGUGAACUAUAGGUCCAACAUCAUUUUCUAACACAUACAAAACAACUUCCAUAAAAAUUUAAAGUCUUAUUUGCCAAAAGUAAGGUUGCUAAACUGGGGAUUUAUGAAGUAAGCAGAGCCAGUAAGGGAAAGAACUGAAAAAGAUUGAUUGACCAUUCAGUAAAGGAUACAAUCUGCGCGAUACAAGUGGUGACAAUUGCAAACAUAGAUAAAACAGAACCCAGUAAAUUGAGCUGCAAAUCAGUUACUGUUGCAAUUCCAACCCCAAAGAGAAGAACGGUAAGUGCAAGCUGGAUAUUCCUACUGCAAAUCAUAGUUGAGACAGGGAUCAAAUCGUUACUAAAAAUGUACAACAAAAAGGGUAAUUUCAUAAAUGCUUAAGCAAAAGAGUAAAUGAAUGCAGAAUGUUAUUUAGAUAAAAGUAUCAAUUUAUAGGGCAAUAGCAUCACUCCAGACCAAGAGAUACAUAGAGGUUACUUGGGUCAAAACUGUGGAGCCAAAGAAGCUCUUUUCGUGCACAAAGAUACUUCACUUGAGUAAAAAUUUAUCUUCAUAUGCACCCAACCUUUCAGAUAGUUCCCUCACUUACUGCUCCAUUACUAUUACAUUUAUCUGAUAAUCCACCAGUCACUUGCAACCUUAAAAUUGUGUCUAGCUCAGCCUUAAAUAAGUAGUCAACAGUUGCAUUAAACAAGAAAGACUUUCCUUGAAAAAGAGUUCCACUCAUGUUAACAAGGAACAUUGCAUAAAAAUAGGACAAACUAUCUAAGAGUGAUAAAACCAAAAAAAGAAAAUUAAUAAAAAUAGACAAGGUGGAAUGGGUCUUUAAAUUAUCAAAGACCCAAAAUAAGAAGAGAUGGCUUGGCUCCAAGAAUCUUAAUGAUCAGUAACAUUUUACAGGAAUAUAUCAAAAGCACAACUUGUCAAAAAACUUGGUCUUCUACUAUCUCAUUUAACCGUAUUAGAAGCCAGUGAAAUGCCAGUGAAAUCAUUUCACUGGCUCAACCUUUAACUAUGGAUGAUGGUUGGCCCUAAAUCUAGUAUAGAAACGAUUGUAUAUGGGAAUAAUGUUAUACCUCUGAAUUCAACUUUCUAGAUAAGGACAAGACAUAGGGUUCAGACUCUUAAUUGUUCCAAGAAAUUACUUCUGGUUUGACGGUUCAAGCAAACCACAUGUUGACGAAAAGUUUCUCCAAUGUUAUGUUCCAAGCUUAAUAAAAUGAGAACAAAUUCCUAUGUUUGAUAUGCUUGGAAGAGAAAAUUUCUCAAAAAUAGAUGUGAAGUAAAUGUAGUGUGAUCCUCUAUCUACCUAGUGUAACAUAACUGAUUUUUUAAGAACUUUUUGUGGAAAUAAUAAAGUCAUCGUUUUGCUGGUAUCCUGUGGAAUUAGUGGAGGUGCGCAAAAGCUGGCCUGGACACCACAGUCAUCACAAAAAAAAGUCAUUUUGAGAAAGUCAAGGUUGAGUACUUUUACCUGAAUUUUUUCCUGUAGAAAAGAGUCUCCAAAAGAACUGUACAGGGGAUGAUUGCUAAUUUUGUCAUCUAAAAUGCAAAACAAUGAAGAAAAUCAGGAAAAAAAAACUGCAUUUAAGAUUCUAAAAUUAGUCAGAAGCUAAAGGGCUUGCUUUGUAGAGACAACUUAGAAUUGAGUUUGUGAUGAAUGUUUGAGACCAAUAGGGAACAAGAGAAUCUCAUCACAUUAAGUAAAGUAGGUUCUAACCACAAAAGCAAAAAAGAACCACAAAAGGGAAAAAGUUUGUUGCCCCUCCCCAAUAAAUGAAAAUAGAAAAGAACCUUACAAUUCAGCUAGCUAUGUAUGUUGAUAAUUAAUUUCAUAAUGAUCAUUAAGCAUUUCAUAAUAAGAUUUUUGUAGCACAUUGUGAUGUGAAUAAUUUAAGGUUACAGUGGAGCAAGUUGCAAUUUCAAGUUUAGAUCUUAUAAAACCUAGCUACUCCAAACAAGUAAUCACCAGAAAACUAAUUUAUGUGGAAAAGCUAUCCCAGUGGAUACAUUGCUAUACCUUGAAAUAUAGGUCCAGAAAAAAGGGGACAAGGAAUGAGAAUAAAGAUAAAGGAGGGGGAAGAGAAGAUCUUAUCCAGAUAAAUCACUAUUUAAGGCAGCCAGAAUCCCAGGUAAAAAACAUUUAAACCAGAUAGUCAUUAACAGCAAAAAGGAAAAAGAACAAACCUGAUAAAAUCCAACAGAAUUAAACCCCAGGCUUAGAUUAAGAAGUCCAAUAGAGGACCCAUUCAGUAUUCCAAAGCCCAUAACGGCUUUUGGAUCAAAAGGCUUGUGCUCAAAAAAUCUCAUCCAUCUUGCCACAUGGAGAGAACAAAAUGUAACUAAAAGAUGCCAGCUUGUCAAAGUCGUAGCUGAGUGAAAAUUUAAGAAGUUAGAAACUCAAAGCAGAAUGAUAUAAGAAUUGAAAAUUUUCUUUUAUGAGGUUUUGCAGGUACCAAAAUAGAAGUGUCAACAAAUCAACAAUCCCCUGAUCCAAAUUGGAUCAUCCUUUUCCCAACUCCCUAUUUCCUUAUCAAUUUUUUUAUAAAAAAAAAAAGUGUCAACUGACAACCAAAUAUAUUUUAGAUGCGAAUGCGCAAUAUCUAGAAGUAUCUUUCAUUUCCAUUAUGUUCUAAUUUUUGUUUAACUAUAUGCAAACACUUGCACAUGAUUUUGUGUUCUCUCCUUCUUCUUUUUUGGUUCAUUUGAUUCUGUGUUCUCUCCUACUACUGCUCAUAUGCCAUAAGCCAAAUUCACCAACUGUCAAAUUGAGCUGUUUUACAUUAAAGGAAUAGAGGAAAUAAUUGCAUAAUGACUAAAGAAGAGCACAAACAGAGAAAUAACUAAGCCAAAUAUUUGAGCUUGUUCUGGUCCCUACUAAUUACAUUGUCGAACCCAUUUUUCAACAGAGAAUAUUGACGUUUACUGAAUCACAUUCACCCAAACAACAACUAUCUAUGCCUCAAUCCCAAGCUAGUUGGGGUCGGCACAUUCAUCCCAGUAGAAGAAACGAGACAAUCUUAGAAAACUUUCCUGCACAAGCUCUUCGUGAAUCUCAUAGAACCAUGUUAAAGCAAUCAAUAAAUCAAUCAAUAUCCUUCAAUCCAAAUAUUUGUUAUUGGCAAUAUGAAAUCCUCUAUGUUGAUUAUCCUCUAUUUCGAUGUAUCAGCUAAUUCAUCUUUUAAGGUAAAUUAAAUACUAUGAAUGAUAAAGCAGGUACCUAAUUUCACGAAGCAUGUAAGCAAUUCACUUGUAAGAUUAGUCAUUACACUAAUGAACCCGAACAAAAGAAAAAUAACAAAACACCAUCCAUUAUUUGCAUUACGAAAAAAAGUUAUCAGAACUCACCAAAUGUAAAACCUAAUGUGCUAAUAAGCGCCUUAUUGCAAAUUACAAUGGACACAGAAGACACCACCGACAAAGACAGUGCUCCAAUGGUCCCCAGCUGAAACCUCUGGCUUUCUGUCAUUUUCGCUCCUUCUCCAAUUCCAACUUCAAAAUCUACACAUCAAUAUAAAAUUUCACACAUAAACCUAAAUACAAAAUCAUCUCACAAUUAGACAACCGAGUUUUUUUUUUACCUUAUCUCAAUCGUGCGUCCAUGAAUCAUACAAAACUAGCUCAGCUGAAAACAAAACGUUCAAAUAUAUUUAAAAACGAGAUUUAUUCAACAUAAAUAUAUACAGAUCCAAACACGAACAACAAAUUUAAAAAAAAUGCAGAGUAAAGAAUAUGUUAAUAUAUUAAGAAGAUUACCAAAAUGCAAAAUUAUAGAUCUGAUACUUUAUAUAAAAUUGGAUUAUUUUUUCAAUCUUCAUACGAUUAUACGAACAAGUAAAAAGGAGAGAGAGAAAUGGAGGAAGAAGAAGAACCUGUAAAGCUUCGGAUCACGAAAAUGGACAAAGGCGCUAAGUGUUCGAUAGAAGUUGAAGCAUUAUUAUUAGAAUUAGAAAGAGAGCGGAGAAAAUUGCACCACUAACAUUUAUACUUUUUUGUAAUUUAAUAAUUAAAUUGGUGACUUCUUAACUGAAUUCCUGCUAGCUUUUCGCCUGCGGGUCACGUGACUGUGUCUAUCAGAGGGGUAUAUGUAUUAAUGAAAUAUUUGGGGAAAUUGAUGCGUUGCGACAUGAAUUUGCAUCUAAUUUUGAUAAUUAUUCUCUAUCUUUUGUCGUAAAAUUAUUUGUAACUUUUAUUAUUAGUUAUGGUAAGACAUCAAAUUUUAAAUUUAUUUUUUUAGAUUUUUUUAUUAAAUUUCGAUUAGUUUUUUUCCUGCGGGUCAUGUGACUGUGUUUGUAUCUAUGAAAAAGGUAUAUACAGGAAAUAUUUGGAGAACCCAAUGGGUUUCAACAUGAGUGUUGCACUCAGAUGAUAACCAUCAUCGACCUCUUAUCUUAAGAUUGUGAUUUGAGUCACGUUAAAUUUAUUAUAUGUUAUGCGAUUAAUCUCAAUAAUACGUAAAAUUUCAAAUUUGUUUUAAUUCAAGUUAAUAUAUAUAAUAAAAUGAAAGAAAAUAUUGGAAGAAGAUUUAAUAGGUUUAUAAGGAACAUUGAAGUCUAAUGUUCACCAUAACGAUUAAAAUGGAUUUCAAAUUUAUCUUUAUGUCUUUUCUCUAUUAAUAAUAGUUGAAAAAAUAUUGUUAUAAUUUAACAAUGCUUGGAAAUAAAGACUUAUUUCAUAUUAGUGAUUGAAUGUAGACAUUUCUCUUACAUUAAUUAAAAUAUCUAGAAAAUGAAUCCAAACAUAUUACUACAUUCAAUGUUUCUCUUACAUUAAUUAAAAUAUCUAGAAAAUGAAUCCAAACAUAUUAGAGUACUACAUUCAUUGCUUCUAAUAUGUAAAUGCAUUCCAAUCAAAAUAUUGAUGAAAUUAGAAUUUCUAGAAUACGAUGUCACCUUAAAAAAUACAAAUUAUUAGUACUAAUUAAAAUUGAUUUCUAGUUUUUAAGGUAAAUAACUCUAAACACAAUAAAGUGCAUUAUGUAACUUUCUUAUAGUAUGAAUGUUAGAUUGUAAUAUUAUGUCAAUUUUAGAAAUUAUAUACCUACAAUAUCUAAUUUUAUAAAGAAAUUAUGAAUUUACAUUCCGCACCUAUAAAUUCACUUGCAAAUAUUCUCACAAGUAUUAAAUUUGUUUACAUUUGGAUGGUUGUUACUUAUUGUUCAUAUAUCGUAUUGUAUCGUGCAAUAUUAUUUUAAUGAAUACAAUAUUUGGAUUGAUUUUAUCAUUCUCAUUUCAGUUGUCACACAUUCAUAAUUUGAAUGAUAAAUAUAGGGAUAAGGAUCUGAAAAAUAUCCCAACUUUUGUCGAAUUUGCUGUUGCGAUACUAAACUUUCAUGAGGACCUAUUACCUCCCUAAACUAUUUAAUACCGUAUUUUAAACAUAUAUAUUUGCCCAUGUGGACAUNNNNNNNNNNNNNNNNNNNNNNNNNNNNNNNNNNNNNNNNNNNNNNNNNNNNNNNNNNNNNNNNNNNNNNNNNNNNNNNNNNNNNNNNNNNNNNNNNNNNNNNNNNNNNNNNNNNNNNNNNNNNNNNNNNNNNNNNNNNNNNNNNNNNNNNNNNNNNNNNNNNNNNNNNNNNNNNNNNNNNNNNNNNNNNNNNNNNNNNNNNNNNNNNNNNNNNNNNNNNNNNNNNNNNNNNNNNNNNNNNNNNNNNNNNNNNNNNNNNNNNNNNNNNNNNNNNNNNNNNNNNNNNNNNNNNNNNNNNNNNNNNNNNNNNNNNNNNNNNNNNNNNNNNNNNNNNNNNNNNNNNNNNNNNNNNNNNNNNNNNNNNNNNNNNNNNNNNNNNNNNNNNNNNNNNNNNNNNNNNNNNNNNNNNNNNNNNNNNNNNNNNNNNNNNNNNNNNNNNNNNNNNNNNNNNNNNNNNNNNNNNNNNNNNNNNNNNNNNNNNNNNNNNNNNNNNNNNNNNNNNNNNNNNNNNNNNNNNNNNNNNNNNNNNNNNNNNNNNNNNNNNNNNNNNNNNNNNNNNNNNNNNNNNNNNNNNNNNNNNNNNNNNNNNNNNNNNNNNNNNNNNNGUAUUAAAUAGUCUAGGGAGGUAAUAGGUCCUCAUGAAAGUUUAGUAUCGCAACAGCAAAUCCGACCAAAGUUGGGAUAUUUUUCAGACUCUUAUCACAUAAACAUAUAAGAAAAGUAAGGAACGGGUAGAGCUACUAUGAAAAUGUAAGGUAAAUGAUCAAACAAUAAUUAUCAAUAAUAAUAAAUAAAGACAAAAUGAGAAGAAAAUAUUCACAUCAAAUCAAUCGCUAUAUAAAACGAGUCUUUUCAUUGUUAUCUAACAAUAAAUAUAAACGAUAUCAUACACAAUAUAAUUUAAGUAACAAUCAAAACAAACAUUAUACUUAAACUAAUAAUACAAUACAACGGUAACAACCAUCCAAACAAGGUGUUAAAAAAAUCUUUAAAAAGAAUGAGAAGAUCUAAAUGUUCUUUUAUUCUUCUAUUACUUUGCUGUUCCUAUACAGAAAAUCAAAUCAAAUAUAUUUAAUACUAUAAUUUUAAUUUAGGAACUAAGUGUAAAGUAAUUUUUCUUAUUUGGCACAAAUUACGGAACAGCAUAGUCAGGACUUAACCCUUCUAUUUGAAAAUUGAUUCAAACGAAGGAUUUAUAUAAUCGGAGCAUCGCCGGAGUAUUUUGUUCGGAGGUUUUAUGCAACCGGCGAAGAAAUCGAGCAUCACCUGACCUGACCCGACCCGACAAAAUUGAUUUCUAAAGGAACCCUACGAAGGAUUUUGGGUUUUUAGGGUUCCAUUUCAUGCUUUUACGAAUGGAUAUCGACACUGAUAUUUCUCAUUGGAUUCUCGAAUUCAUCCUCCGGCAACCGCUCGACGACGGCAUUCUUAACGAUCUCAUUCACGUUCUUCCACUCUCAAACGACAAGCCGAAUUUAAAAAAGGCGCUGCUUAUCCGAAAAAUCGAAUCUGAGAUUUCUAACGGUUCAGUUAAUGAGAAAAUCCUCGAAUUUCUCGAACUGAUUGAGGAACUAAAUCAUCAAGACGGGAUUGAAGCUUCAGAGGUUAUGAAAGCCGCGUAUUGUGCGGUGGCAGUGGAGUGUACGGUGAAGUUUUUGAAUAGUGAAGGGACAGGAGGUAAUAAAGGUAAGUAUUUUGACGCAGUAAGGAGGAUAUGGAAACGGAGAAUCAAUUUAAUGGAGAAAAUGGAGAAUGUAGGGUUUGUAUCCGAAGAGUUAUGGAGUUGGAGGGAUGAAAUAGAGGCGGCUUUAUGGGAUGAUAAGUGUUCUUACAGUGUGAUAAGGAAGAGUAAAGGUAUAGUUGCUGUUGAGUUGGUUAAGUUUUUUGUUAGAGAAGCUAAAGAGAGAAUGGGGUCUCCUUUUCUUGAUGUUGUGGCGGAAACUUACCAGUCUGAUGAGACAAUGAAGGCACUUUUUGGAGAGGUGAACAAAGAAGGAGCUUGCUGCGGAAAUGACAGAGGUAAUGUGUUAUUAAACUCUAUGAUAUGAUCAAAUUUGGAUGAUAAUUUUGUACCUAUUAUCUGCUUAUUGCUCCAGUUCAAUGAAUGAUGACCAAAUUCUGUAUGUUGGUGUUAAGUGUUGAAUUAUGUGCUUUUUUUCUGUAGUUUAUAUGGUCACCCUUGAUUAGAUAUAAAGGGAGUAUUUUUGACAUUUCCUAGUAAUACCAAUAUCAGUUUAUCCUUGUUAUAAGGGGUAAAAGAUUACUUUUUGACAUUUUGCUUGCUGAACUCGUAUAAAUUUCAUGAGUUUUAUGUCUAGAUGAUUGUUUUUCUGCUUGCAGAAGUGUCCAAAGGAAGUGCAUUGCGCAGGAAGAAGCAUGUUGCUUUCAAACGCACCAGAGGAGGUAUCAGGAUCAGUGAUUCUAUUGAGUCAGAACUUGAGGCAUCUGGUGGAGGUGGUCAGGAUGGUUUACCGCCUUCAGCUGAAAUACAGAAAGCAGAGAAAGCACUUAAAUUGAGUUCAUUGGAGCUGCGUGCUAUGGUAAAGGAUCCUCUACCUGAUGCACUACGUCUUGCUGAAACUCUUUCUUUGGCAAGGGAUAAUAUGGGUCAUCAGCCUGCUGAGAAUAGCAGUGACAUAGCCCCUCCUCCAAUGGCCUCCAGUAGCAGAAUGGUUCAAGCUAGUGGGGAGAAAUGUGAGGCGCAGCAUAAUUGUCAUGAUAAUGCUGCAUCCAAGCCAGACCGAGUGAACCAAAACAGUGCUGCCAAUCCACUUGAGGUAUAUGCAUCAAAAAAGAUUUUUUUCUCCACCUGCUUAAAAAUACACGGCCAAAUGCUGCUUCUUGGCAUGUAUUGAUGCACAAUGCUCUUGAAUGUGUAGUAACUUGAAGUCUUCAAUGCAAGAUAGUAUUUGUUUAUCCUCAAAGCUUUACUAGCCUAGUGACUAAAGGAUUUUUUGUAACUAAAUGUGCAAAACUUUUUCCCAAGCCAAGUAACGAAAUGAUUCUUUGUAUAGUAGAGAUUAGAGAGGUUAGAUCAGAUAUUAGCUCUAGAUUUGGUUUUGCAAGAGGAAUAUUAUAGCACAAACAUUAAAGCAUAUUCUUAUUUGAAAAAAAUUGUCCUAGGCACCAAACUGUAUUUGAGAAAAAUAUCCAAAUAGAGAGAAACAAAUUUGUAAUUUUAUGCGUGCUAAUGGAAACAAACGCUGAAUUUUAUAUACAGUUGGAUGAUUUCUUCGACGAGGUAACUGAACGAUCACCAAGUAAAGCGAAUAGGGUUACAUUACCUACACCAAAGACAACGAAAGUUUCUCCCCUGAAGAAGUAUGAAUUUAAAAAGAUCACCACGAGGAGAAAGCCCAUGAAAUGGAGUUCGUUGGAAGAAGACACUUUGAGAACUGGUGUACAGAAGUAUGGAGCAUCUCUUACUUCCUCUGACUUCAAAGAAAUAACGACACAAGGUUUAGUGCUCUAAUUGUUUUCCUUUUUUUCGUAGGUAUGGUACUGGAAACUGGAAGGUCAUCUUAGACACUUAUCAUGGCAUAUUUUCAGUGAGGACAGCAGUAAGUGUUUUCUGAUACUACUACUAUUUAUAGACUGGUCGUAUAUUACUCCUACUUAUGAAGUCUAAACAAUUUUGUGCAGUGCGACUUGAAGGACAAGUGGAGAAACAUGAUAUCGUAGGUAUUUAUUUUGAAGAAAUUUCACUCUUGUAUGAGAGCCUUUUGUUUUCUUAAGCAGAGGUAUGGCCUUGUAUAUUUUUUUUGUAUCAUGUAAAUGUCAAACUUCCUCCCUGUGUAUUUUGUUAGAUACAUAAUACUUCAGAUGAAUGUUAUUGUAUAUCAUGUCUCUCUGGAGAAAGCUGUGAGCAUGCUCAUAUACACUCUAGAAAUAGUUGCCUUUUUAGGUACUUGUGACUAAUUUAAAUCAGUGGAUACAAAUUUCAAGCUAAAGGACUGUGAAACAAGUGAAUUACUAAAUUUCAAGCUCAACUGAUAAUGUAUCCAGAUGCCUUUGAGAUUUCAAAUUGAGUUAGUUAAUGGUUAAAAAACACAACAAAAGUAUCACCUUUUUUUGCGAGUUUCAUACCUCAACUCUCUAUUGUUCUAUUUACCUAUCUAUAAUUCUCUUCGUAUUAAUACACACAUUGAUGCGUAGUUGGCCUACGCGCAUUUGUACUUGGCAUCAAUGUGUGUUUUAAAAGAGAGAGAAUUUAGGUAGGUAAAGAGAACAGAGGUAUGAAAUCCGCGAAAAAGUAAUAGUUCUUGUGUUUUUUUUUUUUACCAUUAGCUCUUUCAAAUAUUUGUACAUGUAUUGUGACUAUCAUCUUAUCACAAGCUUUGUUGUCGAUUGAGAACAAAUAUUUGGCCAAUUCAAUAUUGAGGUGCUUUUUAAUACAAAAGGAGUGAUGGUUUAGGCUGAUAAAGAGAAUAAUGGAUUGUUGAGAUAUAAAACUCUGCAAAAAAGUCAAAGUUUAGAAGCUUUUUUUAGUCAUUAAGUCUUUCAAAUAUUAAUACUAUUGAUAUUAACUUAAUAAUGUUGACGGGUUUCAAUUGUUUUUUGAAGUUGAUUUUGAAGCGGCCAAACUUUAAAGACCUUGUAAAUUUCAGCUAGUAUAUUUCAAAUAGGGUUCCUAAAAUGGUUAUUAUUGCAAUUCGUUCAUAAUAAUGUAGUGAGUGUUCACUCAAUUUAUCUGUUGUGAUUUUUAAAAGUAAUCGUCUCAAAUUGUCAUUUUAGAAGUUUAAGACAACUAAAUAUUUUUUCUCAUUUCUAUGAUAGUAAAUUAGUAAUUGUUCUAGAGUAUUACAAACACCUCACCCUAAAAUAAAUAAAGAAUUUUGCGCUAAUAAUAUGAACGCUUUUAAAUUGUAUUUAAUGGUAAUAGUAAAUAUAAGUAUUUAUAACCAAUACUUAAUACAAAUAUCGUUAAACGCUUUAGCAAUGGUAUUAACUCAAUUAUUGUUAAAUGUUUUUGCGGCUGCUAAUAGCAAGACCUAUUACAACUAAAUGUCUCUUUUAUUAUAGUAGAUCAAAUGAGUAAAUAUUUAAUGAAGAGAGCUUAUAGCUUAAGAAAUAAACAAUAAUCAGAAAAGAACCUUUCAAAUUAAUGUCUUCUAAAGAACGUGUAAAAGAGAAACAUUGACAAAUUAUUUAAGACAAAAGAAGUAUCAAUCACUUCUUUACUUUAGAUUGGUGAAUUUGGUAUAGAGAGGUUUACCUCCGCUUUAAACGUCUUUUUCCCGCCUGUUCAAGCCACUAAUAAGCAGAUCGAGUAGAAGAGAACACUCGGAACUAGGUUGACUGAGAUUGCCAACUGCAAGAAAAGAGAGAAAGUAAGUCGGAAACUUAACGAGCAAAUGCCAUGUGCUCUAUCAAUCUAGUCUCAGUCAUUCCAGCAAGCGAGCGAGUGAGACUAAUGAAACCAAGGUACACUGAAGACAAAGCAAUUCAUUGCAUUAAUCUUCCUCCGUCUCAAUUUAUGUAACACCAUUUGACUUGACAUAAAGUCUAAGGAAGACUUCUAAAAUUUGUGGUCUAUAAAUCCUUGAUCAUUUGUGUGAGAGUGAAUGUGACUAUAAAUCGUUUUAUUAGGAUAAAUGAGAAAUUUAAAAGUUAAAUAUGAUUAUAAAAAGGUAACAUUUUUGCACGGACUUAAAAAAGAAAAAUGUGUCACAUAAAUUGAAACAUAAGAAAUACUAUUUAGAGCAAGAGGUGUGUAUCAACGGAUUCGGUCCAAUUUUAUAUACAAUUUGUCAAUUUUUUUAAUUUGUGAACGCGUUAACCUGAUUAUCAAACCACUAAGAUAUUUAUUAUUGAUUUUCAAUUAAGCGAUUUUUGAUCCUUAAUGGUUUGAUCGAUAAUCAAUAAUACAAUGCUCAUAUAAUCAUGUAUACAAGAUAUUCAUAAAAUAGAAAUAGUAGCAAGAUUUUGUAUACAAGAUAUUCAUAAAAUAGAAAUUGUAGCAAGAAUACAAGUGUAAGACAUAUUGUUCGAAUUUGUUCUCAAAGACACGCACAAUAAAUUGCGAUAAUAACAUUAACUUGUAUGUCUUUGUCACAAUCAAAUCUAAAAUUGAAAAGAGAGAAGGUAAUACUAAUUAGUGCCGAGAAGAGAGAAGAUAACGGAAUAGAAAGACCAGUUUGAGUUGCCAUGGUCAAAAGUAAUACUGAAAUUUAGGAAAUAAAGUUGGUACAAUGUUAAAAUCAUUGUUAUAUAAUUAGGAAUAAAAUAGUAAUUUUAAUAUAAUCUUAUCGGAUGAUCAAUCAAAAUCAUAAAAUCGAAAACCGAAUCAAUAACCCAAUAAAAAAAUUACAAAAUCAUUAAACCAAUGGUGUUUUUCUCUGUUCGAUUUAUCGGUUAAACCAAAUUUUGCACACCCCUUUAGAGGCCAUAAACUUGAAAUCUUGCUAAAAUAAUGGUGCAACCUAAAAAGAAGCAAAUGAUGUGACAAACUUCCCUGAACUUUGGUAGUUUUUCCUUGAUAGAGUACACAUUAGGUAAAAGAACAAAGUACAUUUUCCAGCAGACGGUAUGUAUGAGAGAACCCACAAAAAGUGAAGGAAUUUAAGACACAACAGACUCCUUCAACUGUGAGUAUGUAUAACACCUCAACAAUGAGGUUGUGAACAACACUAUAUAUCUUAACAAAAGGCUCAUAUAACUGGAAAAAACACAAAAGAAAUUACCAAACCAAAGGUAGGGACUUAAUUUACGCUUCGGCGCCUUUACCCCCUGGUUCAACAUCUGCAGUUUUCACAAAUCCGUUAUCAGGAUGGUGCCCUUCACUCUCACUGGCAGCUUGUGACAGUAAAGAGUUGCCCAAGCUCUCGAGCCUGUUCUGCGUUAGAUACUCCAGGGGAAGGUUGGUAGCAUUAACAAGGGAGGUCAUGCUCAUUCCAGCAGUGGCCUCAGCUAGCAUGUCAUCAUCACGGUUCGGAUGGCAGUUCAGGUCCAACUGUCCCUUCCCAGGUCCGAACUCCUCCACUUGAUCCCCGUUCGAAUUCUUUUCAUUGUCAGAGUGAUUCAUGCGUUCGUUCUCGGAAUGAUUCAUUUGAAGCAACUCUAUUCCACUCGUCAUCCCAUCUGUUUCUGGUUCAUCUUUAGGAGGGACCUGAUCUUUUGCCUGUGCAAGUUCUGCUUCUCGAUCUGAUUGCUUUUUCUUCUUACGCAACAUGAGUGUUUUAAAACGACGUUUCACAGUCAAACAGACAUUGCACUUACACGUGGGAUGGUGCUUGCCCUUCCCACUUGGAGGCUGAAUGCACACAAUGCAACUGCAACCAGGGCGAUGCCGAGGAUGUUUUGUUGUGGCUCCAACCGAAGGCUCUCCCAUGUCGCCAAUGCUAUCUCCCAUGUCGCUAGCAGCAACUGUUGCCAAGGCAUCUAGGCCAGAAGACUCUAAAUCUUCAUUGUUUUCUACAAGUUUUCGCCUCUUAGGGUCUGGAAUGAGGAGACACUAAUAGUGAGUUGACUUAGAUUAUCUAAACAAAGGUAAGCAUAAUUCAUAUGUUUCAAUUUAUAAAGUGUUUCAUACAAGAAUUAUAAUGCAUCUACUAUUUUUUGAAACUAAUUUGACUCAUUCAUCAUAAAGCCCUUCAUAAACCGGGUGGCAACAAAGAAGCUCUCGAACUUGCUGGAAUCCCGAAGGAACAUCAAUGUAACACAUUUUAUUUGGCAGCUCUUUAGGAUGUUAGGGGGCGUGAGAUACGGAUUGUGCAAUUAAAAUAUCACAGAUAAAAAAAAAAAAAAACCAAAAAGAAAGCUUCCCCACCAACCAUAGUGAAACAGAUUUCCUAAAGUGUAGUGCUUUGAGCAGAUGAACAUCAAGAUAUAAAUGAAAAGUCGAUUUCCUAGAAUCAGGAGAAAAGUCUGUUUAGCAGAAAUUCCUUAAUCUCACUUUUUUGAAAUGUUUUUUAAAAAUAAACCUUAAAGCUUCAAGAUGAACCAUCAAUUCCUAACAGAAAGGUGCAUUUUGUAAAUGCAAGUAAACGGAAAAGUGAGUCCUUAAACUUGCAUUACUUGCAUUUACAAAAUGCACAGAAUUUGAUGGUUCAACUUGAAGCUUGUACAUAGAACUAUUUAUUCCUUGUGAAAAGUGACCUUUUAGCGACGAAACCUUUUAAAAGCUGUUACUCAAAAGCACAUUCAAUCUUCUACCAGCAAUAAACCCAUUUAAAUCACACGUUGUCAUUCUUGCCCAUAUAUAUAUAUAUAUAUAUAUUUCCUUACUACUUCUUGAUCAUAUCCUCGUAAAGAUUGUGUGUCAUUAACAAAGAAUCAGCAGGUAAAAAAAAUAGGAGGGAAGAUUUCUGUUAAAUAAUGAGAAAAGAUAUCUAAUACCCUUGCCAACUCUAAGGAGAGCUUCCAGUUCCCUCGGACUAAUCUCAUCAGGAAUAGCACAAGAGCAUCUGUAAUAAAGUUUGCAGAAAAAGGGUAAGAAACGGUCAUUCUUCAGAGAGUAUCUAUUUAAUAUAUGAAAUAGCACACAAUUUGUAUAGGCCAAUUCCCAUAAAACACAGAGACACACAUGAGACAAAGCAAAUGCAUCUGAAAAACACGAUUCAUUCAUCUAACACAAACGUAUCUUCAGUUUGUACAGACUACCAAUAUCAUAGUAAGAAGCAACUAAAUUUGGUAGAGCGGAAUUACACCCAUGUUUAUGGUUUACCUACCAAGAGAGAGACCACUACAUGGGUAAAAAGCAAAUUUUCUUUUUCUUUUAGCUAUGUGAUAUCUUAAAAAAUGAAAAUGAUAUAACUAGUCUAGUCUCAAAAGUGAAUCCGAAGUGGGAGAUCAAUGGAACCAGAUAUAGACCUUCUUGAGUCCCAAAUAUUGUCAGAACAAGUCCACUUUGCAGGAAGGAGAACGUGAAAAGGCAAUCUACGCCAUUUAGCACAGCUGUCACAUUGAGCCCAUUGCUCCUGAUCCCUGUGCAACGGUACAACAGAAAUCAGCAUUGAAAUCCAACAAAAACAAAAUAUCAGACAGAUAGCAACCAAACAUUUCUCGUAAGUGUAGUUUUGAUAUGACCAGCAAAGGCAAAGGUGAACAUUAUUAACAAAGCACCAACAGAUCUUAGAGCUUUUUUGCUCUUUUUAGUUUUGAUAACAUUGGUCUGCACAAGUUGAUCCAUUGACAUAAUAGAUAACUACAAAUAAGUUUCACUCGGUACAUUUAGUUUUUCCCUUACCCAGAAGAUCGGGCAGUAAAUAUUGUCCUCUUUCCAAAGACUGGUGCUUCCUAUUGAGGAAGAAAAAAAGAGAAUUAAACUUGAUUGACUAUAUGAAAAACGAACAAUAUAGCAUUAGAAGUAAAGAGACAAUUUUUGUGGUUUCCGUAUUUUGGUUGCACUUACUUCAUAUUCCUCAAAUUCACAGUCCUCAACCACAACAAUGUUAGGCUUGGCAGUUGGAGAUGGCCGUAGCAAUUCUUGUAUUUCUUCCCAAGUGAUUCUAAGUUCCAUAGCAUCAUCGGCAUGCAUAAGAAGCCUCUUAUUUUUGGACCCAAUGUUUCUUGCCUUUUUCUUCUCUGACAUCGGCACUUGCCGGUUCACAGUAUCAUCACUUGUCCUGCCGCCAUUCUUUUCAUGUUUUGGAUGGUAAAAAGAAUUCGCAUUACGGGAAAGAGCAAAUUCAAAUGCUGCAAGCAUGUGACAAUACCUGCUUUGCAAAAACACCUAGAAGGCUAGAGUAAACACUCACCGGAAGGUUAUCAGCCAUGCCAGAAAAUGAAGUUUCUCCAGAGCCAUUGCCACUGGGAAGGUUAGGCGUUUGAGGAUCCUGUUUUGCAUACAAAAAGAGGGAAAUAAACUCACUUCACUAAUCAGGAAAAGAGCGCUAACUAUAGCAAACAAUGUUUCUGUAGAUAACCUGCAUGUCAACAUUGUUUGUUGCCUUCCGAAAUCCCAUAACAAGCUUUCCUCCAGGAUCUAUUCGACUGAAGAUCACUACAACAAUAGACCAUAAUUAGUAUUUCUAUCUGAAAAUCAUAAUCGCUAUCAAAUGCAGAAUCAAUUGAUGACCAAACUAAAGGAAAGACAGUAUCUACAGUCUGAUAACUAGCCACUCUGCCAGAGAUGGAAAAAUAUUUCUUUUAUUAGAUGAAAGCAUGAACAUUUACCAGUAUCACCAGCUUGCAAUUGCAUAUUCUGUAUACAAGGGGUAACACCCUCCAAAACAUACAUCCGGCUGUUGUUAUUGGGCCAAAAUCGGAAUUGAAAUGUCCACUCUUUACCCUUAAUAUCCUGAAUCCUUAUAGGUAGACCCUCUGAUUGGUUAAUUGGAGGGAAGUAUGCCUGCAUAGGAAUUGGCAUUGAUUAAGCAGAAAAGGUGCAUUGCAAGCUAACCAUUCGAGGCCAUAAAGAUAACAGGCAAGAUAUCAUAUUGUCUAAACUUCACAAAGUAGAUAAAAAUCUGAAGAAGUAACUAUUACUUCAGCACAUGCUUUGGGAAGAACCAGACGGCCUAUUCGUCCAGCAUCACUGGCACUUAGGACCUUCUCAAACAGUGGUACAAUAGUAGACUUUAAGCUGAAAUUCCAGUUAAAUGAAACAAAAUAGGAGCGAUACACAACUCAAAGAUAACUAACAGCAACCAAAAAUAAUACGUUGUCAAGGAUACUCUCCAGCUAAUUUCUCCAACUCCUGGUCUGUAAUCCGAGGCCAGUAUCGAGGCAGUAACUGACUGCGUCCACCACGCCCUUCAGCAGGUGGCCUUGCAAUCCGUGCUUGUGAAGCCAUUCCUUUGACUGAUUCAGAACCUGAGGUGGGGCUAGGUUUGGGGGGCUUGGGCAAUAUAUGGCGUGCCCUUUGGCCCUGUUGGAAGGGAGAAGUUUUGCUUUGUUCCCUUCCUUCAACAUCUCCACCAAGAAAAGGCUGUCCUGAACUUGAAGUACCAAUUGGAGUACUUAAACAGAAAUUUAGAGACGGCUGAUUGAUCGAUUCAUACAUAUCUUUAACACCUUGACUUGGUCUCUCAUUAUCGGGUUUGCCAAAGAGAGAAGCUCCAAUGUUCUGCUGAUUCAAAUUCGAAAAGCAUGUGCCAACAUUACCAAUAGGAAGCAUUGUAUCUUGUUUCUUGUCAUUCCUCUGCGUUUGAAAGAGUUGACCAGGCUCAUUGGUCUGCAAAAACUUUCUUCGUUCAAAGUCAUUCUCAUCUAUUUUAUUCUCAACGCCCAGUGGCUGUGCACUCUUAGAUCCCAAGGUGCCAUUAGGAAAAUCAUCACCAGGUAUCUGCAAAAGCAUUUAUAAGAUGAUUUAAGACUCAAAUUACAUCAACUGACCAUCAGCUAAAUUUGUCAAAGAGAAUACUUUCGGGGAAUGCAACAAUUAGUAAAAGACCACGUGAAGUGGGCAUACACAUUCAAAGCACACGUAAAACGAACUCCAAUUAGAUAAGUGAAAUAAAAGAAAGAGACAAAAUUCAUUUGUCAAUAUCUUGAAUUUGUUUGUUUCUUUCAAGGAUUAGGUUUUGGCUUUCCGGUGGGAUUGUCUUUCAAUGUUGCAUGGGCACAAUAUAGACGCCAGAUAUAUGGUUAUAAUAACACCAGAAAACCAAAACACAUAGAAUGUUUGCUCUAAGUGAAAAAGCUGCAUCAAUUUGCCGAAUUACUAUGUGAAGGUUAGAAAGUGAUAUACUAAGGUGGCAGUUACAAUUUUCACUCUGGAUGGUUACUUAGUACUCCAGCAUGGAACCACAUUGCGAUUAACGUUACUCUUCUCCCAUAAUGGAGACAAAUUAUUUUGACCCUGCAUUUUUAGAUACUUACCCAUAUCUUUAAAAUAUUAUUUAGAAAGUUUUCUUAAAAUAUGACAAGUAAAGAUAAGACACUGUAUUCAAAUAUACCAAGUAAGCUUGCCAGAAAGAGCAUAUAUCAAGUAUGACAAGUGAACGUCUGAAUAUCAAAUAAUCAAAUAUUAAAGCACAGAAAAAAAAGAAAAAAAGAAAAAAGAGAGCAGCCUGUUGUGUCUGUGUUGCAAGGAAAUGACACUUGCAUUGACACAAUACAAACACAAGAUACAUAGGACGAUUUAUCUUAAGUGCAAAAGCUGUCUCAAUUUGCAGAAUUACUAUGUGAAGUUUUGAAAGUAAUAUUAUGCAGUGGCUGUCCGAAUUUUCACCAUUGAUGGUUAUCAGCAUGAAAGUAAACUGCCUUUGGCUUCACUCUUCUCCCAUCAAUGGAGAGCUAAUUUUGACCCUGUUGUUUUAACUAUAUCCACACAUCUUUCAAUUAAACAACUACUAAUACUACUAACGCUUCAUUUCCAACUACAAACCUCUCUAUAAUGGUGUUGUUUGCCUCGAUAUCUCUUUGUUGCUAUAGUGAAGUGUUGUUAUAGAAAAUACAUAAUGUAACAUGAAAAAUCAAUUCCAAAACAAUCUUGGCCAUUAUAGUGAAAUGUUGGUAUAGAGGUCAAAGGAUUGUUGCUAUAGAGAAGUUUGACGGUAGUUGGAUCGCUCUAUAGUGAAAUAUAUAAUCGCACUAUCUGCUUUGCUCUAUUUGCAAGUAUUAUUCCAAUAAUUCAAUAACUUGAGAUUCUCUACCUCUUACUACAUACACAUCUCUACACAGACUGAACCUAAUUACUAUAACUAGAAGUGAACAAUCAUGAGUAAAAUAAUUUUUUUUAGUACAUGACAACUAAAAAUAGAGAAUUUAUGUCAAUUACAAAGUAAGCUUGCCAAGAGAGAGCAAAAAAUAAAUUUGACAAGUUAAUAUGUGCAUAUGAUACUAAACGUCAAUAAAACACAACGAAGUUUAUAUAAAAAGAGGUUGAUUUAUUGAUUGAUUAGAGAAACAGAAAUAAAUAAAGGAGAGUACGUACAUAUGUUUUAUAACUAUACAAAUAUCUUGACCCAUGUACCUUUUUCUAUUUACAAUUUUCUUGACCAUUUCCUUUAACAAAAUCUUUUUUCAUCCAAAAUUUUAAUAUGUAAAUGAACAAUUCUAGAUUUUCAAUACCAUUUCUUUAAUGCGAUGAACCUUAAAACCAAGUAACCAACAACAAUCACCAAUUUAAUUUUUUAUCCAUUCCAAUAAGUUUGACGUCUUUCCAUGGAUAAAAAGUACUCUUCCUUUAAUAAUUUAAAUUAGUAAUCCUAUCCCAAUUUUUAUUACAUCCCUUCCAUUUUGGUGCAUUCGAAAAUAUUUCACACUAUUCCACUAAUAAAUACUAUUUUAUACAAUUUUCACAAGUUCUUAAAAUUCAAAUCUAUUCACCUAUCAAAUUUAUGAGACGUGAAUUUUUCUCUCUUAAUCUAUUUCUUUCAACUAUUAGGUUAAGUUGUUCUUACAUUACUAAUUUGUAAAAUAUACAAGUCAAAUGAUAUCUUAAACUGCUUAUCCAACCAAAUGGUGUCACCUAAAUUAAAAGGAGUAAAAAACUACCACUAUAAUUUAUUAUUUCACAUCUUUGUAACCACUACUAAAUUUUUACAUUCCAAAUUAUUAUUAUAAACGCUUCUUUACUAAUCAUGGUAUAAUAAUCUUAAACAUUUUAUCUUAUUAUCUAUACAAGUCAAAGUAUGUAUUCGUAUUGGGAUGAAGGAGUAUUUUUGACAAACUACUUCAUUUUACUCAUUUGAGUUAUUGUUUUUACAUGCUCUAAAGUUCUCAUAUAAUUUUUCUUUUUUUAAUCCCUAAACUAAUCAAAUGCGAUAAAGUAAAAUAAAUAGAGCAAAACAUGUGAAUGAGGCAUAACCAUUUUACAAAGCUCAAGGACUUCAAGCUAUUUUAGGUUCAUCUCCCUAAAAGUGAGGUUAUCAGCAUAUUUCAUGUUCAAACAUCCUCAUAUUGAGUUGUUGCAGUAAAAAGUAUUGGAGAGAAAUUCACUGUUCCUCCUUCUCCAUAAGCGUAUUUAUUUUAUUCAUAAAAUAAAUUGCACUAAGAUGCUUAUAAUACUAAAAAUUUUAGAGAGCACAAAGAAGUUGUAAAAUCUUCUAAGUCAUUUACAUUUUCUAAUUUAAGCGAAAACUAUGGUGUGGAAGCAUUUGGCUUUCUAGAGAAGGCCCCUUCAAAACAUAUCCAAUUUCUUUGUUUCCAUAAAGUCCAUCCUAUACAUAAUACUCCUUUAAGACAACAAGGAUCUACUACUUUAAAGUUAAAAUGAUUUUUUUAAGGAUGGUAACAGUAUAUUCAUCAGCACAAAACGCUGGCUGGUAACCAAAUUUACAUAAAAAGAUCCAACGGAUUAAUCUGUCCUUUUCUACUUACAAGGAUUGUUUUGCUUUCAUUUUGGAACAACAAGGCUUUUCUACAUAAUUCUAAAGCCAUGUUGGACUUCAUGAACUCAUAAUACAACCUGCGAAUCUCUACAAUUAGGUUUAUACUUUUGGAUGUGAUUCCGGCACAUCCUUGGUUCUACUUUAGUGCUCUCCCACACCGAUGCAGCGACCUACAACCAUCCUUUAGUUUUCUAUAGAAGCUGCAACAUUAUAGGGUUAAACAGAAGCAGCAAACCUUCCUACUUCACUAGCAGAGAAUAUGCAACGUAAAAUUACUCAUGAGAUCUAAUGAAGAACCAGAUAACAAUAUAGAAGUUAACAGAGUUUAUGAGACAACGUUAAUAUAUGGUAUACUUGACCAGGUUACUGUUAAGCAUUAGCUAUCCAAGUACAAUGAUGAAAAUGAAUAUGGUGCUGAGAGAUUAUAUAAGCAUAUAAAUUAGUCUCAUUAAUCCAGAAUAGGAGGGAGAGAGGCAGAAGACACGAUACUGAGGUUUUAGGUUCACUUCACAACUAACUGCAUACACUCUAUGCAAACCCUACCCCUACCUUGGGAGGUAGACUGGUAGAGAGGUUAUUUCCAAUAGACUCUCGGCUCAAGGGAAAACAUAUAAAAAAGAAAUAACAGAAGUGAAGAAAUCAUGGCAAUUACUACAAAAAUGAAUAAACAAUUUUAAAAAAAAUAAAUAAGGAUACCUGUAUUGGCCUGAUGGAAUGACCAUCCAAAUGACGUGCACAUUUUAUACAUGUAACACCUCCGUAAUCCAAGUACUCAUACAAAUAUUUUGAGGCAAUGCACCCACAGUGUAUAGGCUGCCAGACCAAAUGAAGAUAGAAUCAAAAACACUAGUUGACCAUGCAAGUCUAGUACAUGAGAUUCAGUGACCUACCUUUCUACAAGUUCUGCAUUCCCUCCAACCAGAUUCAUCCGGGUGGAAUGUUUCACAGAAAACUAAAUUCUCAAAAGCAGAUCUACAGAUAAAAAAUGAGGAGAAAUCACAACUUUCGUUUACUGAUUGCAUAAUUAACUAAUAAAUAGCUAGGCAGAAAUACCAUAUAAAUUACAAGUCAACUAUAAGUCAAGACUGAUGAAAAGGCUCUUACUUUGUGACGCUUGUAUAAAGAAGAGCAAAGAAAAAAAAUUAACAUUAGCAAUAUGAGUCCGGAACAACAUCAGUGUCAUACAAGGGAGCUCUAAGAAAGAAGUUGAAUUUCCAACUGUAAGAACUUAUACUAUGAUUUUCUUUUCUAUAACGUAAGGUAACAACUAUAACAACUUAUACUUCCGAUUUCAAGAACCAAAAAGAACCACAGUAAGUCAUCAACAACCAAACAGUUGACAAAGAUGCUGACAUACCAUUUUACAUGGGAAGACCAACAAAAAACAACAGAGCAAGAAAGUACUACUGCCUCAAACGAUAAACUAUUUUGUGCAAGUUAUUAUCUUGGAACUCGCUGCAACUAACUAUAAAUGCCUUAAGUGUUUUAAGAUAUAACAUGGAAUCAUAUAAGCCCAAAACUAAUGAAAGAUCUCAUCUUUACUCCCAAUGACCAAUAAAUCAUCAAGUUAAACUCAUUUUUCUUCUAAAACUACUGAAAGAUCUCAUCUUUAUUUCCAAUGACCACUAAUUCAUCAAGUAAUACUCAUUUUUCCUUUGUUAAAAGCUUGAAAAUAAGAAAAUGAAAACAUAAAGGUCCUUUGAAUUCUGACCUUCCAUCUCCUUCCUCUAAAUUAACACCUCAAUACUUUACGAAAUACACAUCGAAGACCAAACUAUUACACGUAAUAUGUAAUCACAGUAUGCACUAACAAAAGGUGGAGGGCACUCACUCUUGAAGGAGAAACCAAUAUGCCACAAAUGUGAUAUUUGACUAAAAACCCAAAAUUUAGGAACAAUCCCAUAAUGCAACAAACAGAAAUUUCUCUACAACAAGAAAAAAUAAAUUGCCCCCCUCUAUUUCAGGGAGAUCCACAAAAACCCCAUAUCCCCAGACUACCCUUUACAUCAGAAAAUCAACGCAGAUAUAUAGCAAAAAAAGCUACAAUUAAUUUAGUACAAGAUAAAUUAAUUACCCGCAGUUGUAGCAAAGCUUAGCAAAUCCACCUGAUUUGAAUCCCCAUCCUUUCUUCCACUCGACCGACGUCGUUGCACGACAUAGCUCAUUCAUGCAAAUCAUUGACCCCAUUUUUUCCCUAAAAAUCAAACCUUUAACAACAAAUCUUUUAAAUCAACAUAAACCCUAAAACACCCAUCAAGAAAACAGUAAACCCAGAUCAAAUAAUCAAAAAAAAAAAUUAAAAAAUACCUUCAGUAUCAAAUGUAACGAAUACCCAGAUGAAAAAUCAACCUUAGCAUGAGCACAUAACUUACAAAAUCUUGAACUGAAUCAAAAUGGGUCAAACACACACACUGUAGAAAAAAUAAAUAAAUUAUUAACGGUGGUGGUCGGUGGUUGGUCGGUGAUUUCCGAUGAAGAUAGAAAAACAGAGCAGAUAAAGAUUCAAUUUUGCAGAGAAUUUUAGAGAGAGAAACAAAAAAACAGAUUUUUUUUCCAGAUUUUUAGAGAGAGAAAGUUGAAUGUGUGCAUGCAGAGUCUACAUAGCAAAGAAGAUGAAAGAAAAAAAAUGGAUACACAAAAUGCAUGCACGACACUUGAAGACAGACACCCACCGCAAGGUCUUCUUCUAUACUUUACAGAAAAAUUUCCUUUUUUUUUUCCAUACAAAUUUAAAACAAAUUAAUUCUUGUUUUUAUUUUUUAAUAUUUUUUAAAAUUAUUUUAUUUACUUUUGGUCAAUUUUUUCGGACAGUGAUACGAUUGACCCCUAUAGUUUCGUGAAUUCCCAUGUCCCCUUUUGGUAUUUAUGACGUCAAAUAUAUCUUUUUUAAAAGAAGUCAAGAUUUACUGUUUUAUACUUUGAAUAAAAAGUUACCAGGUCAGGUAAAUUUCAACAUGAAUGAAUCUAGGAAAAAAAGUGUUAUUUUUACUGAUAUAAUAUAAUGUGGAAAAGAUUUUUAUAUAUAAUUAUGAAAAGUUUGAUUUUGUAAUUCAUUGUGAAUGUUAGUAUUAUUUAUAGUUUAUUCUUGGAAACUUACAUUAAAAACUACUAUGUUAUUUUUCUUAUCGAUUUUUUCUUUUAUUUUGUUUUUGAUUACGUUUAUUUUAAAUUGAGGGUCUAGAAAAAAAUAGUUUUUUAUACCAUAAAAAUAAUAAGAUAUGUGUAUAUGCUAUACUUUUUUUCAAACCCUACUCAUGAAAAUAUCAAGAGAUUAUAAAUGAAAACACAAAUGAUUUUUGUAGGAGUUUUUGUUAGAUUUAAUUUGUAGGGAUCAUAUAUGAGAUCAUUUUGUGACUCUUUAUAGAUAAUGAUGAUAUAGUGUGUCGAAUUUUUUCACUAUUAUGGUAUUUAUAUUGCUAAAAGAUCAAGCAUGUUAUUAUAAAGAUAAAAAUGAAAAAUUAAAAGUUAAAAAGAAUUUUUAAAUAUCAAAAUGUGUUUGUUUAACACAUUGAAAAGGGACAAAUAUCAUAUAAUGAAUUUUAUUUUAUUUUUUAAUUAUUUUUUUUAAAAAAUGUGUUAGUAUUAAGCUAAAUAAGUCAAGCCGCGUGCAUGUCAGUUAAAACAAAAUCUGAUUAUUAACAAUUCUGAUAAUCAUGAUAUCUUUUCAAAAAUAUUCAUGGCAUGAAAUAAAAUUGACUAGUGUCAUAUUUGUUGACGUAUAAGAUAAUUAUAGAUAAAUUUAAUUAAUAAGUAUUAAUUAAUAUUACGAUAUUUAAUAUAUUAUAUAAUAAAUUAAAAUUUAUUCAUAGUCUAAAAAGAUUUGUAUCUUAAUUAUUGUUGUAUAUAAUUUCAAUCCUUCUAUUUAUGUAUGAAUGUUGAUUAUAAUGUGAUAGUAAAAUUGUUAGAAUAGUUAUAUUAACUUUGACUGAUUAAUUAAUUUAACACUAAAAUUGGCAUCAAGGAAAAUAUAUUCAUGAAUUUUUCAUGGUUUACUUCCUACCAAACGCACCCUAAAUGUCAACCCUUUGCAAGUUUUUUUUUUUUUAUACAUUAAGAUAUCAUGAGAUUAUUUCUAGCAUUUAAGGUUUACUAGUUAGUUUAUAUUCUAGGAGGAGUAAUAAUUUAGAUAUAUUUGUAUGAGUCAAACAUAGAAAAAAUUAUUGAAAUAUUUUGAAGAAUCUUUAACUAGUCAAUUAUUAGUUUGUUGUGUUAUUGUUUUUGACUUGAUCGUAUUAUGUAUUAUUUUAGUUUGUCAUCAUAUAACUACAAUUAGUAAAAAUAAUGGAAGUUCACAAUGUUUAUAUUUUAAAACUAUUUGUAAAUAAUCUCAAAGUAUAUAUUGUAUAGAAAAUUUAUUAUUUCUCAACCUAUAUGCACAUAAUCUCAAUUAUACUAAAUGAGUGAGGUCUGCUUUAGAGAUUAACAUAUAUAUUAAAAGCCUAUAUGAACAUAUUCUCAAUUAUACUAAAGAGUGAGGUAUAUAUGCUUUGGGGAUUUAACAUAUAUAAAUUAAAAGUUUAUUUCAUGUCAUGGGAAAGCUUACAACAACAGUACUAUUCAUGUUUAAUCGUCUCAAACUGAUAAAAAAGUUAUGCAAAAUAAAUAUUAGCCCAACUCGAUGGUUUGGUCGUUUGGCCCAUCCAAUAGAUGAUACAAGUUUAAAUAAUUGACCCAUCUAUUCAGAAUAGUGAAGAUUUUGAUCAAAAUUUUCUUACUCAUUUGAACUUCGCUCGAAUUGGAACUUUUAUAUUCAUUCACUUUCGAUUUCAAUAUAAUAACUUACCUAUUAUUUUAAAUAUUUAAAAACAUUUUAACAUCAAUGGAAUUUUAACUUUUCAGUAUUAAAAUCAAAAGCCCAACGAUCUUUUUCUCUAAUUGGACUUGGUCCGGGUUGGACUAAUUAUAUAUAAUAGAAACAAAGUUACAAAGAUAGCAAAAUCGAGCCCAAUAUAAGUUUAGCUCCUAAUAAAUAAAAAACGUAAGACAAAGGUGAUUUUAGGAAUAAUCUUCCAAAUACAAUCAAUCAGCUGACCUACUAGUUUUGAUCGAGUUUUAGAUAAUUAUCUCAAUUAUUUAGAAUAAUAAUGAAGAGUUUGAUCAAGAAUUUCGAUUCAAUUAAUAACUUACCUAACAAGUGCCUACGAAAGAGCUGUUUUUUUCUUCUUCAUGAAUUCAUUAGGUUAGAAUAUAUAUAAAUGUUGAAACGAAAAUUGAUAGCUGUCAUAAAAAUAAAAUAAUAAUAUAUCUUUGUGAAAGGUGCAUGGCUUACUAAUUUGUAAAAAUAAUAACAAUAGUAGGUAUGUAUGCAUGUUAAUUUCUAGGUUUAUAUAGGAGUAACAUUUAUUUUAUCUAUAUUUACUAGGGUUUGGUUUAUCAUGCAUGGUACGCACGUUACGAUUAUUUAGGAGAAUGACAUAUCACCCAAUUGUUACAUUAUGUUGCAACAUGUUCAUUCACCAACAUGUAUUCAUGUCUACCUUCCAUAGGUUCUCCUAAAUUUGGUAAAACAUAAUUGACGCGAUAAAAUUAGUCUAUAAAAAAUAUAAUUCACUUAAUUUAUUUAAAUUCAGACUGAUUAAUAUAUAGUAACUCGUAUAUAAUAUAUCCUAAACUAAUAUUUCUAGAUUUGACUAUUAUUAUUGAGUUUUGUGCUCUAAUUACAAUCAACCUAAUACUUACUCCGUUUAGUACUUCACAUGCUUAUGUUGUAUCUAAUGUUAAAUUCCUUAAUAGAGAUCAAUUCUAACGAGCCUUUCUAAUUCUUUUGAUUUGUUAAAUUGAACGAGUAAAAUUAAAUAUUUAUUUUUAUUUUUUACUAUGUAGGUAGCUGGCCACGUGUAAUAUGUCGGUAUACCUUAAAUGAUGCUUAUCCUCGUUUCAAUUUGUUUCUUAAGAGACUGGUAAAUUAGGGAAAGAAAAUAAAUAUUUGGUCUCAUUAUUUUCUGUUUUAUUGCCAAUAGGACAAUAAGACUAGUAGUGCCCUCCAUAUUUACGAAAUUGAAUGUGUUUGUUUUUUUAGUAAAAUCCAAGUAUGAGGUUUGAUGAAUUUCCUAUGCAUGAAAUAUUAUUAUUCUUAUUAUUAUUUUUGUUUUGCUUGCAUGUGUAUGGUGUAUAUUGGUAAUAGAUUUGGCAAAAUAAUAAGUCUAGGGAAAAAGACAAUUUAAUAGCCUGCCAAAAGUCAUUCAUUGCAUGGCAUGAUAACUAAUUCCUAAUUCUAGACCUACUUUAUAAUUUACUUAUUCACUAUCUAUCAAUUGCGUAAAAAAAAUCUUUAACGAUAAUUAAUUAAUGACAAUAAUUUAGUUGUCAUUAAAUAUGUAUUUUUAGCAAUAAUUAGCACUCUUUAUAUAUGUUCAUAAAGUCUUUAGCGACAUUGGAUUCAAUAACAAUUAACUAAUAUCGGUAAAUUAAAGGUUUUAACACUCUUUGUUAAUGUGGAUAUUUAUUGUCGCUAAAAGAUAUUUUUGUUGCAAUGAUCUUAUUUAUCCCAUUGUGAAAUAUUAUCCAACAGGGCUAGGUUAGGGAAACUUGAACAUGUUUGUUUUGUGCACACAUAAAACAAGACUUUUUCGACGUGGAUUAUGAUUGGAUGGUUGAGAUUUCUCCAUCUUAUAACUAGAGGUAUAUUAACUAGAGAUUUUAAGGUUAAACAUUUGAAAAUGAAUUUUUUUUGUUCGAAGUGUCGCUUCUAGAAAUAAGCCGUGCAAUGCGUAAAUUCAAAUUUAGUUGAACCUCAAUAAAUACUAGACACACAGUAAAUAGUAAUAACAAAAAUAAAAUUAUAAUCAUCUGAAAGUUUCCAAUACGUCUAGUAUAUGAUAGUCGUCUUUGAAACUUUCGUUGUUUCCAUUUUUAAAAAAAUGCAUUAUACAACAAUUAUAUGAUUAAAAUUUCUAAUAAAAGAAAAGAAAAAAUAGUAUAAUUUUCCAAUUAAUUAAUUAGGAAAUUACAGUGAAUAGAUUUUCCCAACAAUAAAAAAUUGUUUAAUUAUCCAAAACUUUCGUAAAGUAUAUUGGUCAGAUAAGAUAUUUAAUAGAUGUCAAAUAUCUUUUUCUGCCUGAGCUAGAAUCCUUGUGUCAAAUGUCAAUAAGAUGAAAUAACAAAUACUUCAGGAAAAUUGCAAAACUAAAAGUUCACAAUGAAAAUGAAAACAAAAACGAAACAAAAGCUGCCGGAUAUUCUCAUAUAUAUUUUUAGGAAAAUAAGUAAAAUAUAUUUCGUAGAUCGCAAUGUGUUAACGACACCAUGACAUUUAUUUAGGAAAAACAAAAUAUGAAAUAAUUUGUAUUUUUUAUUAUACUAUAUUGAACAAUAUUCAGAAAUGACAAAUAAAUCAAAUUUUGAAGAAACGUAAUAUAAGGUGAAAAAGGAAAAGGGAAAAUAAGCGAAUACCCAUAAAAACAAAAUAAUUACAAACAUAUACCCUUUAUAUUCAUACCCCACUGAAUAAUUACAUUAUAUAUUCCAAAAUUAAUUUCGCGAUGCUAAAUUAGUAUAUAUAUAUAUAUAUAGAUUUAGUAUCAGGUAAGCGAAAUUAUCAGCCUUAAUAAUACCAAUACAAUAUAUGAUACUCAUUUAAUAUCAGUUAAGCGAAAAUUGUCAGCCUUAGUGAAUGAGAGAGGGGGUAUAGGAUGUACUCCCUCCGUUUAAAAAAGAAUGAUCUAGUUUGACUUGGCACGAAGUUUAAGAAAAUAAAGAAGAUUUUUAAAUUUUGUGGUCCUAAAAUAAAGUUAUGUCAAAUGUAUAAAAUUGCCCUUUAAUCUUGUGGCUCUAAACAUGUCACGUGGAAAACUAAAAUUAAAAUGUAACCAAAAAAAGAAAAAGGUCAUUCUUUUUGAAACUGACUAAAAAGGAAAGGAGAUCAUUCUUUUUUAAACGGAGGAAGUAAUAUUUUUUGUGAGAAUGAGUAUUUCUUGAAUUAUUUUGAAUUGGGGUGUGAACAUAUAAUUAUUUUGAGUUUUAUGGCUCAUUUAUGUUGUUUUUCCAAAAAGAAAUAAAAAGGCACAGAAAGUAAGCGAAGAUCUAAUAACGGGCCCUGAAUAGUGGGCUUCGGUUUGUUCAUGGGCUGAUAAAAGAUGAGCCCAUAUCACUGGACAAUUAUUUCAUCUUUUGUCAUUUGCACUUUCUCCUCUAGUUUGUGUUGGUCUUUAAUAUCUGUCCCUCAAGCCAAAUAACUUUUUUGCGGAACAUAAGUUUAUAUUUUUGCAUUGUAUAUCUCACAAGUUACGUCCCGCAUCCUUAAAGAAACUAUACCCCACCAAAUAAAAGUUCGAUUUCUAAGGACAAAAAUAAAAGACUAGCCCAUUUAAAUAGCAAAUCGUGCAAUUAAAUGUAACAACAAACCCAUUUGUGAAUCACUUAUUAUUCAUGAGUACAUAGAUCAUGAUAAGUAUGCCUUGUUUUCUUUUUAAGGUUUUUCCACUUAUGUUUUGGGGUCUCGAUUAAUCCGAAUUUGAACCGUAGUAAAACCUAAGGAAAACGCUCCUUAUCAAGAUAUUUUUACUAGGGAACGAACCCAAGACCUUUGUUAGGUGUGGAUGAAUCCCACCAAAAUGUUUUGUUAGGAUUUCUUUAUGGACUUGGUUGACUUUCAUUUGGAGUUGUGAUUGUUUUGAAGGUCUAAAUGAAAGUCAACCAAGUCCAUAAACAAAUAUACUUACAACUAAUAAAAUAAUAAGACAGAUUAGCUGUUACAAUAUGUUAAAAAUGUAUUUGUUAAAAUUCGUUGUUUCUCUGUUUCAAUUUAUGUUGUGACACAAUUGUUACGUGACUUACAUGUUACUUAGAAUACUCUGCUUCAGAUCUGAUGUUUGUCAUAUAAUUUUAUGUUUUAAAGUCAGUUUUUCCCUCUCUUUCUCCGCUGUUUGAUCUGUUUUAAUUUUUAAAAAUGGGCCACUAUACUUAAUUUGUAAUAUAUUUUACGUCGUACAAAGCUUAUGCCAGAGUUUUAAGGCCAUGUGAUCAGAGUAAGUUAGCAUUUCGUCAGUUUCAGUUUAUGUGACACUAUUGGUAUUUGAGAAGUCAAAGAAGACGAUACAUUUGUCAUUUGUCGAAUUUCCAUUGAUUUAUGGUUUUACAAGAAUUGAAUGCAAGAUUUUAUUUAUGAAUAGGCUCCCAAACUGAAAGUGCAUACAUGAUUCUUCCUUUCCAGCCUUGCAACAUCCAAUUGCUAUCUUCAUCGACUAGAAAAUCCGCGUGAUAGAACAUUUUCACCUUGGUUUUUACUUCCUUGACGAUGUCUUGAUCCAAUGGAAGUUGUCUAAACCCCGCUAUCUGAUUCCUCAUUGACCAUUUCUUGAAACUUUCCGGCCUCUCAACUCUCUCCGCCCCUUCACUAGCUAUAACGUUCAUUAUAUCUCUUCCGAAUACUUCCUGCUCAAACGUCAUCCUUCCUUCAUCUUCUCGUGGCAUUGUGGCCUCAAACAUGUCAAAUUGGGACGAGAAAUGGAAUAAAGCCUCUCGGAAUCUUGUAGUGAAGAAAGAUGCAUUGUACAUAGCGUUAACGAUCCCAUGGACAAAGUAAUGAGGAUUUAUUUCCUUUAUCAAGUUGAGAACAGCAUCUCUUGGAUUUUUGUUGUUGUGUGUUACUACUGUUUCAUCAGGGACAUUCUUUAGCCUGUACAAACAAUUCACCACGACGAUUUCAUCUCUGUCAAUGUCCAAAUCUUCUAGUGUAAUCUCAUCCCAUUUCUUAGCUAUUGCUUUAUACUCAAAUGGAACAUCAAAUCUCUUGCAAUAGUCUUUUAAACGUCGUCCUGUCUCCUCAACUCUCUCAGCUGGUCGAAAACCUGGCUGAGGGAAAUCGAUUCCUGUGAUCUUAAGCUUUGGAGGUCCCCCGGGCCUUAGGGAAAUCCCAUGUAUUAUACAAGGCCAUUGAAAUCCAUAUAGAAUACCAAAAUCUAUUAUAUGAAUCCUCGAUGAUUCACUUGUUAGCUUCGCGAUAGACUUGUUUGCGAAUAUGUUUGACAUCCUCUUGAAUGGACAAGCAGUGAUGUAGACCUGAUAAGCUUUUAAGAAAUCUGCAGAUGAUAUUUUCUUACUUGUGAUCAAUGUUGCAUCUCCGCCAGCAAAACGAGCUUCUAGGGCAUUGGCGAAGCAAUAGGCGAGCCUUGAAGUAGCGUCACCAAAAGGAGAAGAAUGCUCCCUAAUUUUCUUGAGAACCUCUAUGAAUGUUUUGCUGUUGUAGCUUGCUGCAGCCUCCGCGCAACGCGUUAGGAGGCUAGUAAGAUCUACUACUUCAUUCGUCUUAACGCCUUUUUUGCUCCCACGAGGCCUUCCACGUUUAGACUGCUUUAUAUGAGAGCUCUUUUGUUUAUCCCAUGCUGCAUUAUCUGAUGCUGUUGCUGAUUUUGAUCGAUUUUCAUAGAAGGAAGGAUUCAAGCCUGGACAGAGAAGCGCUUUAUCGUAGUGCUCCUCUGUUUUUCCAUCCUCUGUUUCCUCUGUUCCAUUACUAGCUAACUGCUUCGAUUUUCGCCCUUUUGAACUGUCAUUAUUUUCAUCUCGAGUAUGCUUUUUGUUUCCAUCUGAACUUGGUAUCCCACCUUGAUUGACAUCAUUGACUUGAUGAUAAUUGAUUGCAUUCGAUGCACCGCCAUUGACAACACUAAUACCAUCACCAACACCUUGACAGAUAUUAGUAUUAUAAAAAAGGGAACAUUGGUCAGCAUCUAAAUCAGAAUUGAAAGUUGUCUCAACAAAUUGAUUCACAGCAUCGCAGUAAUCAUCUUGAAAUUGAUUACCACUAUCAUCAACGAAAUCGUGAUGAAUUGGAGGUGGAUUCAACGCAUCAUAAAACGAUUUUUCAGCUGCUUGGAGAGCUAUGCAAUCUUGAAACAUACAUGGCCUAUUUUCCAAAUCUUCUUGAUCUUCCAUAAGCAUCUGAUGUAUAUACUUAAAAACUCCAUCGAAGUAAUCUCCUUGGACUACUGUACGAUCACUACCACUUCCAAUAACAACCUCCUCCUCCGAUGGUCGUCUGCUCGAAAAACAGAGAACAUCGUUAACUCCUCCUCCUCCACCGCCACCGCCACCAAAGCGAUGACAGAAUUCAAAUCCAUCAGAUGAUCUAUGAUCACCUGGGAAAUGGGAGCCAGUAUUCAUCAUAGAAAAAAUGUUUUUUUGAGGGAUUGUGAAAUGGAUGUUGAUUCUUGAUGAAGACACAUAUAUAUUACUUAAACUAAAUAUUUAAGAAUAUUUUUUUGAGGGAUUGUGAAGUGGAUGUUGAUUCUUGUGAACACAUAUAUAUAUUACUUAACUAAAUCCACCGUACGAGUUAGUUUUGAUUUGAUAUGAAUUUUAAAGAAGAAAUUUUUUUAAAACUUGUAAUUUAAAAUAACUGACAGAUAUUUGUUUGAUUGAACAUUUUAAAAUUAAAUUGUUAUUUAAUAUAAAAAUAUAUCAUCUUUAAAAAAUUAAAUUAAAAAAAAAUAAAUCAUAUAAAUCGAACAAAUGUAGUACUUAUAUUUUUUUUAUAUUAUAUAAGAGAGAAUAAUAUAUACUCCACUUGUUCUUCAACGAGUUGUACGGGAAUUUUAUAUAUUUUGAUUCUUUAAAGUGGGUCAUAAAGUUAACUUUUUUCUCCUACAUUUUUUUUUUUAAAUUUGGCACUUGGGACUUUACAAUUGGUAUAUCAUAUGGAUGAUAAAAUUGCUUUUUCCCUUUCUUUGCUACUUGGGUCUCUGCCCUUGGUCGAUUAUAUGCUUUCUUUGUUAGAUUCGAUUCAAUUUAUAUGAUAUGAUGUAAUUUAAUGAAUUUAGAGUUUAAAAACAUGGUAACACUUUUACUAUCUUUUCAUAUGAUUGUUAAGAUAAAUCAAUUUUUUUAAACAAAAGAGUACACAUUUAUAGUGUGAUUAAAUAUUUAUUGAAUAAAAAAAUGUGUUUUUUUUUGUGAUCGGUGAAAAAUAAAGAAUGUGUCACAUAAAUUGAGACAAAGGAAAUAACUUUUAUCUCUUGUAAGAAUAUACUUUACUUUAUUUGUCUUUGUGCAUCUUGGUUAAUUUAGGCAACUUUGUAGCUAAAAAAUUUUUGUUUCCAAAAGGGGGCACUUAUUAGGUCUUUCUUACCUUCUAAACAUGUAAGCAUGACGAAACUUACCCGCAUAUGAUGUGAGCAUCGUAUUUUCUUUUGCGUAUUCUUCUUAUUUGUUUUAUUUAAACGUUCAAAAUUUUGCUUCUUUCAUGAGCUCAUAUUAUCUAUCCUAGCUAGAAUCAUUUCCAAGUAUAACUUUUGCUAAUUUUUAGUCAAACUUUGUUUCUCAUAAAUAUUUUUUUCUUUAAAUAAUAAAUUGUAAACACUUAUUUUUUUCUUUAAAUAAUAAAUUGUAAACACUUAUCAAGAAAAUAUAAUUAAGAUGUCAUUAUAAUAUAUAGUGUAGACAAGCUAGCUGGUACAUGCUUAUAAAUAGACUUGAAACGGACGAAAGCUUACAAAGUUAUGAGCUAUACAUGGGAAAUAGUACAUGAUUUUUUUAUUUUUUAUUUUUUUUGUCGAUCUUCAUAAAAGUUGAUGAUAUAUUUUGUAAACAAACUAGCUGGGGCUCACCUUGGGAAAAAGAGAAAUUCCAAAAUAUAAAAGAACAAUAGUCUAAAUGAGAGCGAGAUAGAGGAAACCGACUGUAAUUCAAAUGCUAUUUAUAAAACGAUGCGAAUUUGAAUUUUAAAGUUUAUGUUUUGUAUAAUAAUUUCAAGUUAUAAUAAUAUAUUUUGUAUAGCUUCAUAAGUUAAUUUUGUAGAGGACAAAAUAUAUACAUACAUUAUUUUUAUUCCAUGAAAAAAAAUUUAUUUUUAAAUAACAUUCGAUCGAUUCAAAUACAACAUAUCCAAAUAGAUGUAAACAAAGAAAUACGAUUUAGGUGAAUCGAGGGGGCAAAAAGGGUUGGGUGGGUGGGGANNNNNNNNNNNNNNNNNNNNNNNNNNNNNNNNNNNNNNNNNNNNNNNNNNNNNNNNNNNNNNNNNNNNNNNNNNNNNNNNNNNNNNNNNNNNNNNNNNNNNNNNNNNNNNNNNNNNNNNNNNNNNNNNNNNNNNNNNNNNNNNNNNNNNNNNNNNNNNNNNNNNNNNNNNNNNNNNNNNNNNNNNNNNNNNNNNNNNNNNNNNNNNNNNNNNNNNNNNNNNNNNNNNNNNNNNNNNNNNNNNNNNNNNNNNNNNNNNNNNNNNNNNNNNNNNNNNNNNNNNNNNNNNNNNNNNNNNNNNNNNNNNNNNNNNNNNNNNNNNNNNNNNNNNNNNNNNNNNNNNNNNNNNNNNNNNNNNNNNNNNNNNNNNNNNNNNNNNNNNNNNNNNNNNNNNNNNNNNNNNNNNNNNNNNNNNNNNNNNNNNNNNNNNNNNNNNNNNNNNNNNNNNNNNNNNNNUGGGUGGGUGGGGACAGGACUACAUGGCUGGACACUUUUUUGUAAAUCUCGAAAUCAAUUAUUGUUGCCACUCCAUCUGGUUCCUUAACAUGUGACUUCCUGUCUGGUUAUAAGAUGUAAUAACUUUGAGAUAAAAUAUAAAAUUAUUUUAUUUGGUAUCUUAUUGAAGGUAUCAAGUAAUUAUUGCAUUAUUUAUUUUAUUAUUUAUAUUAUAGUGAUAGAGUAAAUUAUUACUUAUAUAUGAUAGAAUAAUUUAUUUUUAAUUAAACGAACUCUUAUAAUGCCACCUAUUAUUGAUUAAAAAUAGUACCAAACAAAACUUAAUUCAAAUCUUUCCAAGGCAGACUCAAAUCCGCCAGCUUCAAAGAAACUUUAUUUUUCUUGAUUCUUUUUAUGUAUAUGUUAAAUUCAUUUGAUUUUUCUCGUGAAUAUUUUUUUUUUAUAUUUUAAUUAUCUUUAGUGAAAAUACUAAUUCAUAUAUAGUAAUUUUUAUUUAUCAAAAGUGGACACAUUAAUUUGCCUCUCUUCGAUAUAUAUCCACAGAAUGCAAACAUUCUACGAUGCUGCAAUAUUUGUCGGAUGUAUAACAUUCAACGAACAUUCAGCCUACAUAUCCCUGUAUUCUUGUUCUUUCCAACAUCUUUUGUUUUUACUUAAUUAAUAUCGACGUGAGUUAUUUAUAUUAUUGAUUUAGUUUGAAUAAAGGAGGAGUAUUGUAGUAGGUUGAUAAUCAACGUAAAUGUUAAAGAAUGACAAAAGUCCCACAUCGAUGGUUAAUGAGAUGGGUGGACUCCUUAUAAGGCUUGGGCAAUCCUCCUCCCUUUGAGCUAGCUUUUGGAGUGUGAGUUAGGCCUAAGACCUAAUUUAACAUGGUAUCAGAGCAGGACCCGUUAUAAGGCUUGGGCAAUCCUCCUCCCUUUGAGCUAGCUUUUGGAGUGUGAGUUAGGCCUAAGACCUAAUUUAACAGUAAAUCAUGCUAGUUUAUGAUGAAUCUUCAUGAUACAGAAAUUAUAGUGAUACUAUUAUUGGAGAUUAAAUAAAAAAAAUAAGAAUUUAUAUAAUCGAUUCCUAACUUAUUUGAGAUCGAGGUGUCGUGAGAAAUUUCCUUUAUACACCUUUUUGGUUGAGCUCAAUCUCUAUGAUAUGCAUAUACUAUUAUAAAGUCUGAGAAACCCAAUGUAAAUGAUAAUCAAAAGUAAUGAAUAGAUGACAAUGCAAAGAAACCAUGUAAAAAUUUGAGUUAGAGUUAUCAUGUGAUCAUUUAAUUACUAUUAUAAAUAUUUUAGAAAGUCACUUAUUUAUUUAAAAAUAUGACUUUCUGAAUUAAUAAAAAUUAGUAGAGUAAUCAUUUGAAAAAUUAAUUGUUCAUUGAAAGUAAAUGACAAGGCAUUAAUGGUGAUUAAGGUCUACUAGAUGAUAUAGAGAUCCAUGGUUAGAUGAAUAAUAAUGUAACUUAACCAAAUGGCACAAACAUGUUCAUCGUUCACCAACUCUUUAGCUAAUACUCCUUUCGUCUUAAUUUAUACAGUGAUAUUUGAUUGACACAAAAUUUUAAUAAUUGAAAAUAAAGUGAUCUUUAUCACGACAUAAAAAAUGUACUUAACUAUAUAAGUUAAAUUUGAUAAUGUCACUUAAAAUUUGGGGAAACGUACCUAACUUAGGUUAGGUGAAAAUAAUAAAAAAAAUCGAAGACAAAUCAAACAGAUCUUUUAUUUUCAUAACCAAAUAGAGAAUUAAGUGAACAGAAGAACCACCUGGUACAACCUACUACAUUUUUCUUAUGUAGUAGAAUAGGUACAUCCAACUGUUUUAUGUAUAUUCGAUAUUUAUAUCAAAUUAAAAAAAUAUGUGACAUAUGCCUUCUUAAAUACACUUUAAGCAUAAUUAUCGUCAAGUAACAUAUUUUUUCAUUCUUAAAUAAACUUUAAGCAUAAUUAUCGUCAAGUAACAUAUUUUUUUCAUUAAAAUGGUUCAGUUGAUUUGAAAAGGAUGAUUCGAAAUCGAUCCUCCUCAAUGCCUGCUCAUCCAAGGAGGUAUAAUCCAAAAGUUGAAUGGAAGGACAAUUUUAGCCCAAACAAUGCAAUUAAUUCUUCAAUAAUGUUCUUAUGGGAAAAUCAAAGUUCAUUUUGUACCAUGGCUAUUGUACAUCAAGAGAACAUUAUUAUUUUCAGACAAAUGUAAAUCUUAUAAUGAAUUUUAGUCCAAGAAGAAAAAUGUUUUCUAUAAAACUUGCAAGGUUUUCACUUUUCAAUCAAAAUAACAACCAUACUUCUAUCAGUUUUCUUUAGAAGCCCUUUACUGAUAGUGUUACAAACUUCAGAAAGAUCUUGGUUUCAUCACAAUGGUAGAAUGCUUCAAAAUGUGGAGACUGAACUGUCCACCUUUCUCCGAGGUGUCGAGCUUCGACUGUCCUGGAGGAGGCAACAUCUCAAAGUUUUGCACCAAACGUCCCAAAGUGAUGCCGAGAAUUGGCAAUGCAAGGAUAAUUCCGGGGCAACUCCUCCUACCAACACCGAAAGGAAGAAAUCUAAAGUCAUUGCCAUUGGCCUCAACGUGCUUCUCCUCUUCGAAGAACCUCUCAGGUCUGAACUCUUCAGGUUUCUUCCAGUGAGCGGGGUCAUUAGCUAGCCACCAAGCGUUAACCAAGAUUUUGCUCUCAGCUGGAAUAUCGUAUCCAGCAAGCUUAGCAUCAUGAAGGUUCAUGUGUGGGACUAAAAGAGGAAUUGCCAUCCUGAGUCUAAGAGUCUCCUUGAUCACAGCCUGAAGGUACGGAAGCUUGGGCAUGUCUGGCUCAGUUACUUGCACUCCUGGUCCAAGAACUGUAUCAAUCUCGUCACGGAGUUUCUUUUGGAUGUGAGGGUGGUUGACUAGUUCCGCGAUACCCCACUCAAUUGACCAUAAUGUUGUUUCGAUUGCUGUUCAUGACAAUAAUUAAGCAUAUUAGCCGAAUAAUCAACUAACCAAGAAGUUUAUGAACAGAUAUAAACAACUAAACAUGCUUCAAUGGUUCAAAUAAAGCUCACUUAUUGCUCAGUACAAGACAAAGCGACGAAACUACUUUAGGACCAGAGGCAAUUCCAAGAUCUACAAUUAGUGAGCUCAAAAUGAGUAUGAUUUUGUCAUAUAUAUAUAAUAGAUCCUUCUUUCAUAUGCAUGCACACUACAGACCAAAAGCAGUUAGUUCAGUAAAACUCAGAAAACCGCUUAAAUCCAUUUUUGUUUGAGACUUUGGCCUUAUAGUAUAUCAUACAGUUCACUUUGUUACUUAUUUACGGUUCUACUUGAAUGUUACCAUAACAGCUUAUUUUCAAAAAUUACAUCAGUGCUUUUGUUUGUAGACAAAAUAAUGAUACUAAAUAUCUUUUAGUACAUUACUCCACUAUCAUGAUCAUAAUUAACACGAGUUGUUUCAAGUCAUUACUUAUGGAAAGUUAGAUGCCUUAAAAUGUGCACCAACAACCCUGUCUACCUAACCCCCAUCAAGAAAAUUGGCAAGUACACCAACCAUAUCAAACUGUUACCUAUCCCCUUAUUUGGAACUUCUCACCUACUACUUUUGAUUAAAAAACAGAGUAAAUCGGAACAGGGAUCCAUCAGGCUUACGCCCAUUCCGGAAAGUUCCUCACUGCUGCCCCUCACAGGAAUCUGGGCCAUGUUUCAGUCCUAGUGCAGUUGAUCAUCCUCUAAGACCAGCUACUGAUCAUCCCUCUGCAAAGUGAUUGUCACACUAACUAGCUAACCACACGCGAGCCCCUCGGGUGGAUUCCUCCUUUUCUUUAGCAAUUAGUUGCUGUUCCCCACCCAAAUGCAUUCACUUAUAAAUUACUUUUCUUAGUUUCUGACUAGGAUGAUUAAAAAUCAUGUAACAACUGACAAAAUAAGUUCCUUAAACUUUGGUGCAAAUCCAAAUACCGUACAAAAAAAAAAUGUGGAGGUGACAUUGUCAUUCUUGGUUUACCAGUCAAACACACCAUUCUGUUAUUCUUAUCCAAAAGACUCGUGAGGAUUCCAAACCAAGUACCGUUAAAAGUUAUUUUCAACAUUUUCACAAGGAGAUGCACAUGCUAAACCAAACUAGAACAAAGUAUGUUCAGAGAAUUAAAAAGUAUUUUGAAACAUACCAGCAACAUUAAUGUUCUCAACAAUGUAAAGAACGUUAUCCUCGUUGAUCUCUCCCUUCUGUUGAGCAUCAAGAAUGUGAUCAAUGGCACAUUUUAGAGCAUUGCUGUCCAUGCUCUUGGUAUUUGCAAGCUUCCUGCACAAAGCAAUAAAAAUAUGUUAAAAACUAAUUGUACCUCAAAGCACUUCAUCUAGCCAGACCUUACAGACAAUAUUUGGCUAAACUAUCCUUCAUCUCUCUUUAAAGGAAACCGCAUAAUUAACACAACCCUAAUAUCAAAUGUUUUGAAGAAAAUUUAAGUCGCCACAACAACUCAAAUUUAAACCAGAGGAAUUUCUCCCUCCAAUCCUUUUUAUUUACAGCUUUAACCAAACAAAUUUGGUCCAUAAUACAAGUUAACAUCUAAUUAAUUUAGUCAAAAUCUAGUAAGAAAAUAGACCGCAAACUUAACUCAAUCUCAAAAGCGCUCAAUUGCCCAAAGACCAUAUGAAGAGUUCAAUCACACCAUUCCACACCAAAUGGGACUUCCAACACCACCCCUGCACACAGGCCUACCAUCUAGAGCAUGGACAACACAUAUAGGACACAACAUUGGGUAAACGAAGAAUUAGAAUAGCUUGGCUCGGAUACCAUGAUAAGAAAGUACAGACAUAGAACCUAACUAAACCCAAAAGUUAUCUCAUCACCCCUCAUUGAGAAUUGUCUAAACCACAUGAAAGUCCAGUCACACCAUCCCUCAUUGAUGCAGGACUGAGUAAAGUUUGGUUCCUUAGAUUGAUCCUAUAAUCCUAGACAAUAAGACAGCACUUUGUGAUGUGAUCACUGAUCCCCACAUUCAAAGAUCAUUACCAACAAUACACCUAAUUUAUAAAAGAGACCGAGUAAAGAUAGGUUCUUUAGAUUGAUCCUAUGUCCUACACAUUUACAUCAAGAAAAUAAAACUAGGGAAAAUCAAUAAUUGAGCAUAAAGGAGAUAAAGUGAACUGAACUUACUUUCUUUCAUCAACAAAGUAGUCUUUGAAUAGCUUCAACCUUUUCUCCUUAACCUCCUUGCAAAUCUUCAAGUACCCUCUCAAGAAAGGCCUCAAAAUAGGGAUAAAAUCACCAUAGUUGUACUCAAAGCUCUGAGCCAAUCUACUCCUCUCACCAUUCAAAGCCCUAAGCUUUACAAAAAGAGGAUCAUCUUCACUCUCAAAUCUCCUAUCAAACGUAAUCCUAAACAUGUUAUUAUACAUCAUAAGCUGCAAUCUUUUCCUCAAACAAUCCCAUUUGUAGCAGAUUCAGGGUUUUUCUUCACAUCCUCAACCACACUAGCAGCCUCAGACUCCCACCCCCCUCUAUACUGCUGCACCACCUUAUUAGUAAAAAAGGGUACAGUCAUAAUCCUCCUCAUUUUCCUCCAGUGUUCACCAUACACUGUAAAAACCAUAUCUUGACCCUUACCUGUAAAAAUAUCAAAAACAACAUUUCUUGUUCUUGAACCAAAUUCAACCCCUUGUGUGUGUAAAACUUCUUUAGCUAAUUCAGGGGAUGACACAACAACUAAGUUCCUUUGCCCCAUUCUAAGCAAGAAAACAUCGCCAAAUUUUUUAGCAUACUCAGUAAGGUUUCUAUGGUUCAAAUCAUCACCAACUUGAAGCCAAUUUCCAAAAACUGGGACUGGAAUUGGACCUGGGGGUAGUUUAAAUCGCUUGGAACGAAGUUUAGAGACAAUAAUAGCGAUUAAAAUAGCAAAGAAAAGACCUAUUAAGGUCUUCUCCAGUAAGAGAAGAUCCAUUUUUGGUGAGUUCUUUUAGAGGGAAGUUAGAGAAAAGAAUGUUUUAAUACUGAUUAAGUGAAAACUGUGAGUAUUUAUAGAGGAGUAAGAUGGGGGUUAGGUGAAGAGUUAACGGCGUUACGUUUAACGGAAUGGUAGAUGGGGUUAGGUAGAGGAAAGAGAGAGGUGGGGUGGGCUGGGUUGGUGAGCUCAUAAAGACUUUUGCUAAGGGCAUACAUCAUUUAAUGUUUGAUUAAUUUAAUUAUGAAGAUAAGAUUGAAUUUAGAAAUUAUCUAAUUAUUAUAUGUAUAAAUAAAUUACAAUUUGCAUAAAAGGAAAAUAAUCUCACUAAGAUUUUAUAUAACUAAUUUAUAAAUUCAAUUUAUUAUUAUUGGAAGUCUGUUUGGACAUGGUUUGAAAUUGAAAUUUUGUUUGAAUAUGCAACUUGUGAUAAGUCAAUUCCCUAAAUGGUCACCUAAGUUUAGAAAUUGCCUUGAAAUAUCAUUUAUAUUUCAUUUAUAACCAAAAUAUCACUCAACUAUCACUAUUUUCCUCUAAAUAUACUUGACACUUCAAAAGCCUCACUCUCUCCUAGUUAGCAUGACAUGUCAUUAAAGUUUUUUUUUUAAUAAUAGAUUGAUUUGAUUCAUUUAACUAAAAUAAUGAUCAUAUUAUUUUUUUAAAGGAUAUAUAUAUAUAUAUAUAUAUAUAUAUUAGUUUAUUAAGAAUAAAACUUCAUACUUAAGAAUCUUUUAUUAUAAUUCAACUUUUUAUUUUUUUAUGUUAUGAAGAAUAGGUUUUUAAAACGUACUAUAAUAGCAUCAAUUUUGAAUACUUAUAAAUAUAUAUAUAUAUUAAAAAAAAAUCGAUAUACAAAUCACUCAUUAAUGUUAACUUACAUCAAUUAAUCAUAAAUUUUAUAAUAAAUCAAUAGUAUUAAAUGUCAAUUAACUAUUAUAAUAAAAUUAAUUGUGUAUUUUGAAAUUCAUGCUUACAAUUUUUUUUCUUGAAAAAACAUAGAAAGUGAAUAAUAUUAUUACUAUUUUUUAUCAAAAAAAAACAAAUAUUAAAUAUCUCAAAAGUCUCCUUCUAUUCUAGUUGAUAUGUCAUGUUAUUAAAUCAUCAUUUUAGAGAUAAUAGACCUAUUUAAUUCAUAAACUUAUGUCUCUACAAAACAAAUAUAUAAAUUACAUGAGAAUUUAUGAAGAUUAUAAAAAAAAAACUAAUUUCUUUAUAUUUUUUUACCAAUGAAAAAAACUUUGUGUGCAAUUAUUACUUGAUAAUUUUCAAAAUCCCUAAGUAAAUUAGUUGAAAAUUUUAAGAAUAUUUUGCAUAAAAGUAUUCAAAUAAAUUUGUAAGGUUGACAAAAAAGUUGGUAAGAAAGAGAAAAUUAUUAUUUAAAUUUUUUAAAUUUGUUUUUUUAUAUUUAUUCUUUUAUUGCUAUAUUAUAUUUUAACUUAUCAUACCAUUAAACACCAAUAUAUAUUCUUAUCUUAUUCCAAAUUCAUGAAAUACAAGUAAUAAUUAAUUGAAUUGCCUAUUUUAAUUCAAUAAUAUACAUAUUAUAUGAGAUUAAUAUACUGAUAAUAAAGAUCAAAAAUUUUAUUUUCUAAUAUAAAUAUUAUUCACUUUCUAUUUUCUUUUCAAAAAAAAGAUAUUGCAAGUAUGGAUUUCAAAGUUACCCAAUUAAUUAUUUUUAAUAGUUAAUUGACCUUUAAUAUUAUUGAUUAAUUAUAUAAUAUAUGAUUAAUUAAUGUAAAUUGAUAUUCAUGAGUGAUUUAUUUAUCAAUAUUUUUUGAAUAUAUGUGUUUACAAGUAUUCAAAAUUGAUGACAUUAUAGUAAGUUUUAAAAAACUAUUCUUCAUAGCAUAAAAAUAUUUAAAAAAUAAUUAUGAUAAAGAUUCUUAAGCAUGAAAAUUUCUUCUUAAUAAACUAAUAUAUACUUUUUAGAAAAUAAUAAUAUCAUUAUUUUAGUUAAAUGAGUUUGAUGAAUUAAAUAAGUCUAUUCUUUAAAAAAAAAAAGUUUCAGUGACAUGAGUCAUGACAUGCUAACUAGGAGAGAGUAAAACUUUUGAAGUGUUAAGUAUAUUUGGAGGAAAAUAAUGAUAGUUAAAUGAUAUUUUGAUCCUAAAUGAAACAUAAAUGAUAUGUCAAGGCAAUUUUCUAAACUUGGGUGACCAUUUAGGGAAUUCACUUACUUUGUGAUUCGUCUUCUUUUCAUUUCUCUCCAUUUACGUCGAGCCUUGACAAAUCAUGGGGUAGGGAAUAGCUUGAUUUUUACGACAAUUAUUCUAAAUUAUUUUCUUUUCUUUUUAAAAAAAAUAAAGACGACAAGUAAAAUAAACAAUAGGAAAAAUCUCGACCAAAACAAGGGAGAAAACUUGUCCAAAAUCUAAAGGAUUCGUGAUUAACAUUCAACUAUCUUUAAAUGGAGUGAAAAAAUUGGCCUUCUUUUGACUAAUUUAAGUUUAUGCGAAAAUAAAGACGUAAGUUUCACCAUCCAAAAUUUAAAAGAUAUAUACUCGAUUUUCAAUUAUUUUUAAAUUGAGUGAAUCAAUUGAAUUUCUCAAACUAAUUCAAGUGUAUCAAAAGAGACAAAAUUGUCACCAAGGAUUUGUGAUCGACAUUCAACUAUCUUUUAAUUGAGUGUUUUUUUUUUAGCAGUACAAGUGUUAACAUAAUUUACGUGAUAUUAUAUGAUUGACAUAAAAUUUACUAUAUUUGUUUGAAAUUUAUGGUCCAAAAUAUUUUAAGAUUAUUUCUUGGCAAUACAUCAUUCAUCAAGGAUAAAAAUGAAAUUUUGAAGUUCAAUUAUUUUCAAUUAUAGAAAAAUGACAUUUUUUUUAGAUAAACUAAAAAAAAGUGUGUAAUGUAACUUUUAUUUAGAUACUUGAACUAUGACUUGUUCCAAAUGAACACAUGAUAAAGUGUUCCUAUUAGUCACUUUUGAUUCAAAUUUUGAAAAAAUAUUCAUCUGUGUUCACAAACAUCUAUUAGAUACUUGAGCAAAUCGCAUAAAUUAUUUCAUUGUUUAAUUGUACAUAUCAAUCUCAAUUGGAAGCAAUCUUGAUGUUCUUUUUUUAAAAAAAAAUUGGUCAAAAAAGAUAAACUAUUUUAUUAAUUAAAUAAUAAUAGUGGCGGUACUAGGGGUGAAAACUGUUUGUCCUGAGGAACGUCAAACCAAAAAAGAGUGUAAUUAGUAGUAGAGUAACUGGUAGAAGUCGAUGUAGUGGAUUAUUUUUGGAGACUAACAUGAUGUACCAAGCCAAAAUAUUUGAACCAGAGAUAUUAGUGUCUAUUUUGCCUUCUCCUUUUCAAAAUUUGAAUCGAAAAUGUUUAGUAAAAAUAUUUUAUCAUGUGUUCAAGUGCUCAAUUGAAAGUUUGGAACAAAUCAUAGUUUGAAUAUUUAAAUAAAAUUUACUCCCAAAUUUAAAAAGUUAUUGAUACAUUAAUGGUGAUUAGUCUCCACUAGAGAGCCAUGAUUAGAUGAAUAAUUAUGUAACUUAACCAAUGGUAAUAGGAGACGUUGAGACAUCAUUAUCGUUCUUUUAAAAGUACCCACAACAAUGUAGUACCUAACUAGAUUAUUUUAAUUUAAUCAUGUUCAAUUAAAAAUUACAUAACGAAGUUAGGUAAAGUAUAAAUAAGAUUUAAUCGCACACAUUUAAUUUCAUAGGCCAGGUCAAAUGGACUGUCGACCAGGGACACCAACUAUUUCCACAUAUUCAAUGUUGCAUCAUAUUAAAGUUAAGUGAACUCAUAUUAUAACACACUUAAUCAUGAUUAACAUGUAUUUACGUACUAAAUCGAUUAUUUGAUGAAUAAUAAAUUAAUAUGAUUUUGUGCAAAUACAGUAACUUCAUCCUCCGUACAGCAUCCUCAAUGUAAGCAACAAAUUAGUAGGUGAUCGAAAAGUGUCAUGACAAUAUGAGAAAUCUACUCAAUUCGCCAAAAUAAUGCAAUUGUCAGAAAGCCAAAUUACCAUUGUGCAUCAAGAAAAUACAUCAGAAAGGUAAAACUUAUAAUGAAUAAUCUAGUCCAAUAAGACUUUUAUAAAACAUAAGAAAGAAGAAUGUUUUCUGUCAAACUUAAAAGGUUUACACAAACAAACAACAAUCAUGAUUAAUUGAUAGCAUUACAAAGUUUAGAAAGAUCUUGGUUUCAUCACAAUGGUGGAAUGCUUCAAAAUGUGUAGACUGAACUGUCCACCUUUCUCCGAGGUGUCGAGCUUCGACUGUCCUGGAGGAGGCAACAUCUCAAAGUUUUGCACCAAACGUCCCAAAGUGAUGCCGAGAAUUGGCAAUGCAAGGAUAAUUCCGGGGCAACUCCUCCUACCAACACCGAAAGGAAGAAAUCUGAAGUCGUUGCCAUUGGCCUCAACGUGCUUCUCCUCUUC
Molecule: long non-coding RNA, 78078 nt
Filed under: Solanum tuberosum (potato)
Lineage: Eukaryota; Viridiplantae; Streptophyta; Magnoliopsida; Solanales; Solanaceae
Description: long non-coding RNA (STUB_LNC006883)
Source: RNAcentral